AGAGUACAAGGUAAUACUCGAGUAUACCAAACGUUCACUCAGGGUCACCAAAUCGCCCGACCGAGUCCGCUUCUGGCUCGAGUCGACCGGCAACGAAGGGCAAGGACCCAGUUCAGCCAAACGGCUUACAUUCAUGUGCAACUAGCAUUUAAUUAUUUAAUCAUUGAAAAUUUCACAUUCAUUUAGGUCGAGUGCGAUAAAGUACACACUCGCCUAGAAAACUCAUUUUAAGUAAUCAUUGAAGACAUUUAACAUGUUAUCAUUCGUUCAUAACAAGUCAUAUAAUCAAGAACAAGCCACAUAGUCAAUGAAAAUAUAACAAACAAGGAACACUCACCUAUUUACGCAAAAUAAUGUUCAAAAUAUCCUUCCAAAUAACACCCUCAAUCACCAAGGAACCCUAAUAUAAUCAAAAGAACACAUUAUGCUUCAACCAUCAAAGAUGUAAGUGAUUCAAAGAAAAUUCAAAUACGUACUAGUAUAAAGUAUAAAUAUGAUUUUGGUAGUGAAAAGAGGACAUAAGUAAUAAAUAAAAUAUUUGUAAAACUUAUGCUCAUUCAUAAAACUUUAAAAUCUCCAUUUGAGUCGAAGUGACAAAGAAAACGUAUUUCUAUGAGUCGAAAAUUUCAUUUUUCCAAGGGUACCAAUUUCGGCUAAGUUCUAACGUAUAUACCCCAAUAAAAGAUGACGCAAAUACCCUAGAUGGUUCAAGUGGUAUUCGCUCUCAAGCCUUACUCAAGUCGCAAGUAUCUCUACCUAGUUCUUGAGCGUAAAUUUAGGCAGCACGCCCUUUAUAUUUACCUAUUUUCCAGCCAUUUAUGGCUUCAUUGUUUCCCUCAAUCAGUCCCAACAUUACUCACAACAUAACUGCAUUAGAAUAGUCGUUCAAUAGGCUCCAUGUCAUAUGAUUACCAAACCAAGCUAGAAAAAUUGACCGGAAAUGAAGUUUAAGGCCUAAAAUCAAAGGCAGAUUUGAUGUCACUUAACGUAUCGGACACAACCAAAGCUACGCCUAUCGGAUUGGGAUGUAAUUUAUACCGUUUCGAAGCUAAGACAAAGAGCUACAACUUUGAUGAAGACCACCUAAUCCAGUUCGUAGUGUAUCUAGGUCUACAGUACUCUGAUUGGGCUGAAAUUUUGUAGGUAACUAUAAAACAUCAUUCUCUACAAUUUUCAUGUUUUGUGCUAAGCCUAAUUUAGCCUCUAUCAUGGUAAACUAAAACCGGGCAGAACAGGGUAUACCUUAACUUCAAUUCUGGAAAUUUGCUACAAUCAAGGUAUAAAUCUCAUUUUUAGCUUGAAACCAUCACUACCACCUCUUAUACCAACUUAUAUACAUCAUAUACCACCCAUACAACAAGUAUAAUAAGUGAAUCAUUCAAACCCUAACUCAACAUCCCAACAUAUCAUUUAACCCAUGAACUUUUCCCCAUAAAUCCAUCAAAACUACAACUUUAAGCUUCUAGUUUACACAUAUAAGAAGUAGAGGGAAGUUUCUUACCAAAUUCACCUUAAUCCCUAUGUCAAGAAGCUGCCAAGACCUUCCUCUUCCCAAAUCACUCCACCAAAACCCUUAACCUUCCUUGGAGAUCAACUUUUGUGGAGGAAUUUGCAAGAUUAUCGGUUGAAGCUCAAGAUUGAGGCUCGAAAUUGAAGUGCAAAAAUGAAGUUUUCUUUCCCUUUCCCCCUCUCAAGUUUCGGCCAGCAAUAUGCAGAAAUGAAGAAGAAACAAUGCUCUAGAAAAGAUAAGAAGCUUGGAGUUAAUUUGGUCAAAGGUUUGACAAGUGUCACAAUUUAAUUGGAAGUCAAAUUUUUCUUUUCUCUCUUGUUUUUGUGGUCCACAUUUUCGGCUGAAAGGAGAAGAUAUUUAGGGCUAAUUUGUUCAAUUAAUAACAAGGGGAUUAAGGUAAUAAAGUGGUGUUCAAGUGGUGCACUCAUUCGGUAACAAACGGUACCCGUCGGUUCAACCCGUUUUUCCUUAUUUCACGCGUACUAGGGUUUUCACUUAUAAUUCACUAACUUAUUAUUAUUACCUCUAAUCACACACUUAAUAUCAUCUAAAACUCACUCUUAAUCACCAAAUUUGAUCCACACUCCGUACCAAUUAGUCACACGACGAAAAGGCGUAAAAACCCUAACUCGCGCUAACUUGAAAACGGAAAGGAAAAACCCUUAAUUCUAUGUUCAUUUACAUUUAUUGUGGGGUGAUUGGGUAGUAGGGCUAUUAUAAAAUAAUAAUUUUCAAAUAAUUGCCAAAUAAAAGGGAAUUUUGAAGAAAAUUAUAAGGAAUUUGCAAGUCCUCACAUAAUACACUCUUAACACUUUAAUCACAUAAUCUUUCUUGCGUAACACCUGCUCUUUGUGACGCCCCCACUUCUCCCUAAGGCGAACCAAAGGGUAUCCGCGGGACGCCUGCCUAGCUCUCGCCAGGACUCAAGCAAUUCCAUUCAACUUAUAGCCGGACCACACAACACAAGCCAAUAACUUAAAUACAAUAAAUGCGGAAGUAUUCAAACUUAAUAAUAACCAUCCAUUCUCCAAACCACACGUCAGAAUACAGAUUACAUUUCGUCCAAAGGUUACAUUUCCAUACCCAAAAGUACAGUCCAAAACCAAAGGCAUAUCCAAGAGUAAUAGCAAACCCUAAAACAAAAGUACAACAGGAGGGUUUCUCCAUUUCACCUCCGAGUUCAAACCUGUUAAGGAAAACAAAUCUACAGGGUGAGCAAAACGCUCGUGAGGCCAAGAACACACAUGCAGACACAUAGUUCAGAUAACAAGUCCAAAUAACAAUUCAGGUAAUAGCUUGCAAGUAAUUAAUAACGCCAACAAAGCGUAACCAGAAACAAUUCAAGGAUAUAGAAGCUCUCAGGAGCUAAAUUCCACAUUUGCCGAUGUCAUUUGUAUAUCUCCCCGUGAUGACUCUCCGUCAACCGGGUUGAUAUUUUCAUAUCCGUAGUUCACCACUUACUUCUCAUCCGUCCACCAUACACCACUUCGGGCCCGCACGACAUUUAUAAGGCGAUACUUUACGAGUAUGCCAAGCGAGAUCUCUCAAUAGAUCAAGCUUAUCAUGUGAAUCUCAUGGUUCACCGAGGUUCCCGACCAAGCCCAUGCCGGCUCGAGUUCCAAGGUCGGCCUAUGAGUUUGGGCGUCCCCCAUGUAUCAUGUAAAUGUCGAGGAGAUUCACUCCAUCGACGUAUGCAAUCAUAGCAUACCAUUUCAUGCAUUCAAGCAUUUGACAUGUUUAAGCAGGCAUUUCAAGUCAUGUAAACCAGGCAAAUCAUGUUAGACAUGAGUCAUUCGUGCCAAAUGAGAACGAGUGCGAUUAAGUACACACUCGACUCCAUUUUUUUCAAAAUCAAAUAGACUAAGCAUGUAAUCAGGUAAGUCAAGCAUGAAUCAAGACUUUAGAGUUCAAGUAGGCAUACACUUGACACUCACCAGUUAUGCAAGCAAGUAGGUUGGAGGGAGAGUUCAAACUUCCACGGUAGGGUCCUCUUGGAGGUCCUCGUGCGUGCCUGAACAUCGAAUAGUAGAUAAUUACUAUAGGUCCCCAAGUGGUGAGAAAGAUUGGACACGGGUAAGGUUCGGAAAUAUUUGAAAACUUCGUUUGACUUGUCUUUGAAGUUGGAUUCUCAAAAGGGUGCAGGACUCGAGUAAAAAAAAUCGGAUUAUUAUCCUUAAAAUCAUUGGUUGGAAACGAGUACGAGCAAAACGAUUGCAAAACGGACGAUCGAAAUCGAAAGAGGGCUGGCCACGCCACAAUCCGGCCGGAACCUGGCCGGAUUGGAGGCAGUGGCUAACCUCCUUUUUUUUCAAACUUCGCCACCAAUCCGGCCGACAAUCCGGCCAGAAACUGGCCGGAUUCAAGGCCGGAUUCUGGUAAAAUUGUUCCUUCGCGGAUUUCCUUUGGAAUUCCAGAAUUUUCGAUUUUUGGUCAAAUCUUUGAAAAAUCAUAACUUUCUUUCUACUAAUCGAAACUUGAUGAAUUUGGUACCGUUGGAAUCGUCUUCCAAAGUACUAAAAGUCCUUAGAAGACACCAUUCCAUGAAUCUAAGUGGAAGGUAUUCAAAAAUGAGCCUAAAGUUGCUGUUCUAGAUUACCAGGAUUGAGCCGGGGUUGGUUUUUCGCUAACUUUGGAAAUUCGGUAAAAAUCACUCGUUGCAAACCGGCCCUUGAAACUUAUAACUCGAUUAGAAGUGCAAGUAAAGUUUUGAACAGAACAAGCGGCUCAAGAAUCGGAGUUUCGAGUACCGAGAUACGGUAGCUCAAAGUUGGGAAAAAUUCAAGACUGUUACAAAAUUUCCAGAUUUGGUUCCGACUUUGGACCUUUUAUUAAGUGCCGAAACGGACUUGGAUUGACACCAAAUUUUGCAGUAUAAUACUCCCAUAUGAAGGGUAUCUGUCUAUCAAAUUUCAUGGAAAAAUACCCUCGGAAAGGUGGUUAAUCAAUCAACCAAAGUUUGGAAAAAUCCUCAAGGCAAUCUGUCCAAAUCUAAGGUUUCAAAAACGAGGCAGUCGCCGUAUUUUGAUCAUAACUCCCUCAAUUUAACUCGGAAUUGGGAAUGGUUGAUAGUGUUAGAAAAUACAUUCACAGGGCUAAAAUUUCACAGAAGAAAUCGUUUCAAUUUUCAGCAUGCAACUGGCUCGAAUUUAAGCCUAAAGUUGCAGCAUCAUCAAAUCAUUUCGGCAGAACGGAGAAACAGGACAGCUGACUUCAGAUGAAUGGUGUGGCUCACACACAUAAAACCAGAAUGUGCAUUAUACACCGUUGGAAACAUGAGAACGUCUAGUUUCAAAUGCCGCUAACGGCACUUGAUUUCGACGUCGGAAUACGGAGUUAUGGACGAAACACGAACACUGGUCUGGUUACGACGGCAACCAUUUCCCAGAUUACUAGCUUUGGAAAAUAAAUUCUUUUGAUCAACCAAAACUCAAUAUUUUUUCAACGAAAUUUUGUACACAACUUCUACAACAUGUAAACAACAUAAUCAAGCCAUUAAAUCCUCAAAUUUCUACAUUAAAGUGACCGAACAGAGCAGGGGUAAAAUGGUCCAACUUGGCCUUUGCACUCAACGUGAGUUUCCAGCAGUUUUUCUUCAGCAAAUCACUAACUUAAACACUAAUCCGACAUCAUAAACUUCAGCAAGCACAGAAUCAGCAACAACCCAAGAGUGGGAAUUCAUAGAGCCCACUUUUUCCCAACAAUACAAGCUACUAAAGUGACGAUUCUAGCUCAAAUGCAUAAAUCAAACUCCAAAAGACAAGUUUAAGGUGAUUGAUUACUACCUACUUUGAUGGCUGGUUAGGACAGAAGUUUCGGCCCCUUUGAAGCUUGAAGAACCGUGAAAGGUCCUCCCUUUUCCAGCUAAAUGUGUUGUCCAAGACUUAGGCUAAGUGGUGCUAAAUUUUUAGAAGAUUUGGUGGUGAUUUGCAUGAGCUUUGGAAGAAGAAAUGUUGAAGGUUUCGGUUGUCCCUUUUGCUGCUGCUAUCCGGCCAUGAAGCUUGAGGAAAUGAAAUGUGACUGCUGGUUCCUUUGCGUACAUAAGACGCUUGACGUCUAAUAUAUUAAAUACGUCAAAUCAAUUACAACUAGUGCCCUACGCGCGCGUUUUGUGUUCGAUUUCUCUUACGUUUGUUGCACUAGUGCACUAAACCUCUUGGGCACUUACAUUCAUAUAAAUAUUAUUCAUUCUUAAUUGUCCCAAAAUAAUGGUCCAAAGUCCCUCAAUUAAGCGCGCACGUGCAAACACGUAUUUCUAAUUUAGGCGCAAUAAAAAUUGAAACCUUUGAGAAAUUCUUAUAACGAUUGUACCACUAGCUAUCACUUGUGUGAUUAACCUAAAAUCGUCUAUUUUAGGACCAUUGUAUAGGUCUCAAAUUUUUGAGCUUAUUGUACUCCCAAUUGGCUAAAGUGUUUAGACACGUUUUUCACUUUUUCGCUAAAUAAGCUUGUAAGAAAAUAUUUGUUUAUUUAUCUAUAUUUUUAUUUUAUUUAUUUUUAAAAUGAGACACUUAAGAAAUAUAACGAAACUAUAAAACCAUGUACUUAGGUCUGAAAAGGCUAGAAAAUAUUAUUCGUAGCAAAAAUCCAAAUAAAUAAUUAAUUGAGCCAAAAUUAGGGAUUUUAAAAUAAUAAAAAUUUUAGAGUCCUCACACUCUUGUCUACCAAAUUUAUUGCAGACACCUCACUAGUUGGUCACACUACCAUACUGCACUACGAAACUUAACAUGCACCAAAUUAUGGAAGAAAAAGAUAAAACUCUUGACUUGAUCGUUAAAGUAUCUAAGAAAUUAAGGCAAGUGAAUUAAACCAAAAGAAAAUAUAAAUUAACUUAUUCAAAAAUAAGAAAAAUUAUAAGAAAUAUAUAAAAUAAUUUUUGAGUCCUUACAUAACCUCCUCAAACUCUUGGCUAAUCGUUCCUAAUAUAUAUUGACAAACUCCUAAAAACAAUUCGUAGCUAAUAAGCCAAUUCAUAUCUAUGACCUUUUAGUGUUCAAAACUUCAUUCUCAUACAAUAAAUAGUGUUCUUGUUUACUAUGUUGUCCAUACAAUAUAGGGUAAAUUACAUAUAAUCCCCUUUGUAUUUUGUAUAUUGUCACAUGAUUCCCUUAAGAUUUCAAAACAUCCACAUAACUCUCUUAUGAUUUUAUAUAAAGCAGAAAAUUGAUAGAAAGCAUCACUUGUUACUGUGAUUGAAAUGGAUGUUCUCUAAGCAUGUGUGUGAUGGAAUCAUAAUGUAUAUAAACCACUCUUAUAAUUUGUAUGAAUAUCUAUUUUACCCUCCUGUAACUUUAUAUUUAUCCACAUAAUUCCUCUAUGAUUUUAUGUAAUGUAGCUUUGGUCAUUGUUUGACGUAGUAUCUUAGUAUUUCAACUAAUGACCUUACAAAGACUAUUUUCUAUUAAAUUUUCACAUUACGUGAAACUACGAGGGUUAUGUGCAAUUUAUCGUUCAAUAUAUGGGCACAAAUAUAUAGUUUUUCCCUAAUCAAAUUACAAAUAAAUUGUACAGUGUUAUAAUCCAAUUUAGUUAAACAUACAACUAAUAAUUAAAAAAAGAAAAGAUAAUCAUACAUAGCUAAAAGCGGCUAAAGCCAAAUAAAUAUUACAAAUUUUAUGUAGCAUGGAAUAUGAAUUUGUAUGAUAUGCUUUCCUACCAUGUACACAACCAAAAUUAUAUUAUCCUUAUUUCACCUUAAUUAUCCAAUUGAAGCACAAACAAUUUUGUUUUCACAAAUUAUAGAUAUCACAAAUAAUGGUUUAACAUCCAUUCCACUCUAACUUUGAUGAUAAACAUGCACGAAUUUUUUCUUUACCAUUGCAAAUGCGUAGUAUACUAGCAACAGCAAGAGUACAUUUUCAACACAUUAUCAACUACAGUUUCUAUGUGGAAAUAAACCUUUGUAACUGUCGUAUGUCAUGCAGUGGGUCUAUACUUCAAUUUUGCAAUUCUAAAUUCAAUCUUAUGGCUUUUAUAAGCUUACUAAUUCCUUUUAUUUUUUCUCUUUUUAUCAGGUGUUAUUUGAUUGACGAUUGUCUGUAUAUAAUGUGGCUCAUAUAAAGGUCCAUCAAGCUAAAAUUUUUGUGCUUUAGUCAUUUGUGAAAAAUAGCAAUGAACCUCUAUCAAUAUGAAACGAAAAAAGGAAAGAAAGAAGUAGAGGAGGAAGACCAUGGAUAUAAUGAGUUAUGCAUUAUUCAAAUUUCAAAAUAAAGAAGUCAGGUGUAAAUUAAUCAUUGGAGUCUUAAAAGAUUAGUUUUACAUAAUUUAUUGUUCAAUAAAGAGAAUUUCAUGUAUGGCAUUUCUUUUGAUCUAUCGUCUAGUCAGAAUAAAGUAACUGAUCGUUAAUCUGAAGAUGGUACAUGUAAGUCCACUUCAUUUCCCAUGUUUUGGAUAAAACAAGUUGUGUACAGCAUCCUUUGUUGGAAGAUGAAUUAUGAUUCUUCAAAAGAUGUGGCUGCCAAACUUUUGGAAAACAAAAGGUAGCAGCAAUUCCCAUCAUUCACUCUUCUUUGUAGGACAGUUCAUUUCCUUAACUUUUUAGCAUCUCUAUUUGGAAUGCUAAAAUGUAUUUGCUAGCAUUUUGGACAAUCAUCUAGCUCCUUGCCCAUUCUUCAGCAGCCAAUUUCUUCAUUUCCUUUGUGUACUUGGGUACCUAAAAUUGGUGAUUCAAAUUGAAAUGCAUUGGCAAUGUUGAAUCCAACUGCAUCACUUAAUGCUGCCUUGUCUCUACUAGUUCAAGUGAUGUAACUACUUUGACAAUUGACACAGCAUAUGCACAGAUUCAGCUUGAUGAUUAGAAAAUUCGACAAGCAUUAUAACUGGGCCAAGAUGGAAAUGCUUUUUAUGGUUUAUGCAAUAGGCAGAGAUGCCAAAUAUGGUUGCCAUCUAAUCCAUUGCAGGCGUGUAGAUGGCAUUAUUCCAUUGAGUGACGUGUUCAAGUUUUUCCUUGGUUGGCCAAUUAGACAAAAUAAUCUAUGGUGUAUUUUAGAUUAAACAACUGGUUUUGAAAUAAUUUUUUUUGGAUAGUUUUUGGGAGUUUGAACUGCCAGUAUUUGCAGACAAUAUUAGAAGUGAUAAAAUUAAAAGGAGGGAGAUGAGAGUACUCAUUGUCUAUAGAUAUAUGCCUUAGAUUCCAGUUUUGCCUUUGGAUGCUAUUCUAUCAUCAAGCUAUCUGCUCAAAUUGAAUGUGGUAAACUCCUUUGUCUGCUCCAACCAAGCAGCACUUUAAUUAGUUUUACUGAUAGUCCGCUUAGAUCUAUUUUGACUUUGGCGCUAUUCCUUGAUCAUACUGUCUGGUCCAACUAAACCUAGAUGACUUCAUUGACUAAACAUUGUUCAUGCCCCUGAGAGAAACUACAUAUCAUGAGACAAGAUGCACAGUAAGAGACACUUCAAUUAAAACUAUUCUGGGUUUCCAAUUGGUUGUUCUUAGGCACCGAGCAAUUCUGUUUUCGUUUGGCAAAAUUAAUUCGAGUAUUAAUAAUUGAGUAGUUGGUAAUUUAACUAUCAUAUAUUAAUGUUUACUCAUUUACCUUGUUUUUGGCAAAAAUCUUGACCACAACUAGUGCUAUAGUUAAUUUAUAUCCACUAUUAGUCACAAAUGUAGAUAAGAUGGCAACCUAGAGAAAAAUUGAUAAAUUUAGUUGUGUGGCCUUCUUUACUUUCUUUUAAAUAUUCAUAUGCGACUAAGGUGCUGUUGUUGAUUAUGCUUAAGUAUGUACAUUCCAUGACAUCAAACUUGACAUCAUAUGAUUAAUUAGUCUUCUAAGUCUUUUGUUUUUAAUUCUAAAAUCUCACUUGGUAACUAUCUUAUUUGUCUUUUUAAAUUAUUUAUUUAUUCCCCCUAAAGCAAAAUGGGAUUUCAAUUGCACUUAAGGAAAGCACCAAAAGAUAAUUAUUCAAAUUCAAUCCUUUUCCACCUCGAGUUUAAAGUUCCUUGGAUAUGUUGUUAGAGUUACAAAAUUAAUCAACAACUUCCAAACCCUUAUCCUCAUCAAAUAUUACAUAUAGAGUAUAUUAAGGAAAGUAUGUAGAGUAUAUUAAAAAUAAUAUUCCUCUUCUAAAAAUAAUAUAUAUCUCUUCUAAAAAGUAAUAAAAUAACAUACCUCUUCUAAAAAUAAUAAUAUUCUCUAUUUUUCAAAAGUGGUUUCUAUGUGGAAAUAAAUCUUUGCAUUGAUUUGUAUGUCAUGUAGUGGGUAUAUUUCAAUUUGACAAUUCUACAUUCGAUCUUAUGGCUUUUAUUAGUUUACUACUUCCUUUUAUCUUUUCUCAUUUUAUCAGGUGUUAUUUGAUUGACGAUUGUCUGUAUAUAGUAUGGCUCAGAUAAAAGUCAACCAAGUUGCAAUUUUCGUGCUUCAGUCAUGCGCAUUUGUGAAAAACAACAAUGAACCUCUAUCAAUAUGAAAAGAAAAAAAGAAAAGAAGAAGUAGAGGAGGAAGACUAUGGAUACAACGAGUUAUGCAUGAUUCAAAUUUCAAAAUAAAGAAGUCAAGCAUAAAUUAAUCAUUGAAGUCUUAAAAGAUUAGUUUUACAUAAUUUAUUGCCCAAUGAAGAAAUUUCAUGUAUGGCAUUUCUUUUGAUCUAUCAUCUAGUUAGAAUAAAGUAACUGAUCGUUAAUAUGAAGAUGGUACAUGUAAGUCCACUUCAUUUCCCAUGUCUUGGAUAAAACACAGUUAUGCACAGCAUCCUUUGUUGGAAGAUGAAUUAUGAUUCUUCAAAAGGUGUGGCUGUCAAACUUUUUGAAAACAAAAGGUAGCAACAAUUCCCAUCAUUCACUCUUCUUCACAGGAUGGUUCAUUUCCUCAAUUUCUGCUUUUGGCUUCUCUAACUGGAAUACUAAAAUGUAUUUGCCAGCAUCUUGGACAAUCAUCUAGUUCCUUGCCCAUUCUUCAACAAUCAAUUUCUUCAUUUCCUUUGUGUAUUUGGGUACCUAAAAUUGGUGAUUCAAACUGAAAUGCAUUGGCAAUGUUGAGUCUAACUGCAUCACUUAAUGUUGCCUUGUCUUUGCUAGUUCAAGUGAUGUAACUACUUUGGCAAAAGACACAGCAUAUGCACAGAUUUAGCUUGAUGAUCAGAAUUCGACAAGCAUUAUGACUAGGCCAAGAUGCAAAUGUUCCCUAUGGUUUAUGCAAAAGGCAAAGAUGCUAGAUAUGGUUGCCAUCUGAUCCAUUGCAGGUGUGCAGAAGGCAUUAGUCCAUUGAGUUUCUUGGUUAGCCAAUUAGACAAAUAUAUGGAAUGGGUACUUUGUGAUGGCUCUUGCAAACUAGUUGUAACUUUAGUUAGGGAUUAAUAUUUCCAACAUUGUCAAUAUAGUGUUUAGAGUUUGGAUGCAUGCUAAGUCAUUAAUAUUUAAAUUUUAACAACAACUUUCGCAUAUAUGGCGUGCAUCCAGAUCCACUAAUGUAUAUGCUGUCAGUGCAAAAAAGUUUUGUCCAUUAGUUAGAGCAAGUAUAGCAGCUUUGCUAUGCUUGGAAGUUGCUUGAAACAUCUGUAGUGGUUGUAUAUAUUUUAGCUUCCACUUUUGUGCAAUCAAACUUUGAGCUCCAUCUUUUCUAGGAUACAAGGCUAGUAGAAAGGAAAAAGAAAGAGGAAAUUUCUGUAAAUUUAGAGGAUUUCCAUUUUUCUUUAUAUCUCUAUGAUUUAUUUUUUCAAAAAAAAAAAUUAUAAUAACUAUGUAAUGUGACUAGGUUUAAUUUUUAAUCAAAAGCCCACUAAAUUAAUCAACAAAGAGUAUCCUAGUGAGAGUUUUCUCUCUUCUAGAGUUUACUAGUAAGAGUUUUCUUCUCUUCCAAGCUAUCUUAAUGGGAAUUUUGUUUAGUUUUUUGUUAUUUUUUCUUAAACCUAAGAGUUUUUUUAGAUCUAUAUGUUAUAUUUGGAAUUUUUUGGAUCUUCUCAUCAGAUAUCGGUGUCAGUUUUAAACUUGAAUCAGUUGGAUAACAUAUCUGAGGCAAUUGGCAUACAUAGAUAUUUGUGCAGGAACUUGUGCAAUUGGUCAGAUCUAAUAGUUUGUGAGUCACAAUGUAAUUUUUUAUAUUUUGUAACUCUAUUAAAUCUAAUAAUUUUUCAGAUCAGAUAUAUUUAUGACAUGUUCUAUAUAUUUUUUGCCAUUAAUGCAUCUAUGUUUGUCAAACGUACUGAACUAUUUUUAGUUAGUUUAUUAAUAGUAUUGCCUUCUGUUUUAUCAAAAAAAAAACUAAUCAAUAAAGAUCUCAAACUACUCCACUUAAUGCAAAUUGAUUUUGAGAUGCAACUCAAGUUCUUUAAUGCUCAUCAGUCCACAAGUCAAGCAACUAUGCAAUUCUAUAAGUUUGCUCAAAGAAGGAAGCUUUAUUGCUUUCUUAAAAUAUGAGAAGACAAUAUUAGAAGAGAAAAGGUUACCUAAAACAAGGAAACAAAAAAAAAAAGAAAGAAACAUAAAACAAGAAAAGAGAAGAAAGAAAAAAAAAAGGUAGCCUUACUCCGAUGAAUAUAAAGAAAUCAAGGGAAAUUCAAUUGCUUUAUUAUAAUUGGUCAGAGGGAUUUACUUGGUUAGAAAUGGCCUAAGAGAGAUUUACAUGGCUAGAGUGUGGUGAAUUGAAGUUAAAUGUUGUGUGCCUAUCGUGCCAUGGUCUUAACAUACAUCAACUGAUUUUUUUCCUUCUAAUUUUUAAUUGGAAAAUCUUUAUUUUCUAGAACCAUCUAAAAUCACUUUCAAGACUAUGCUUUAGCUGUAGGAGGCAAAGGGAAUUUAGGUCUCAAUUAACUUUACUAUCAUUAAAAAAGGUAAAGUUUACUCUCAACUUUUACCCUAAUCAACAAUUCUUAAGAAAUAAACAACUUGAUGUAUCGUACAAGAUUUUAAUAUGGUUCUAAGAAAUACACUUCGAAUAAAUGUCUUCAUAUGAGCUUGACAUUAAUUUCGUGACAGUCAUUUUUUUUUAUCUACUAUCAUGGCAUCUUAGUGAUGUGAAAUGUGAAUUGCAGAAUUUUAAGCAAGACGGUUACUUUGUUGAAUGGCAUUGUAGUAGUAGUAGUAGUAGUAGUAGUAGUUGGUAAAGGGUACAGGGUAGAUGUCGAGUUGAAGUUUUGGAAUGAAAGAGAUGAAUAAUCAUUAUUUUCUAUUGUGGUAUCUUAAUAUGUUGGCAUGGAAAUGAACAUGGGAGAUAAGUUUGUUGUUUUGAUAAAGGUGGUAAUGGUAUAUAUAUGAAUCACAAGUAUGCGUCAUUUAGUUUUGAUUAGUCUUGCUAUUUCUUGAAGGGACAAAAUAUAGUUUGCUUUUCAUGUGUCAAAGCCAUAUUAUGGCAUGCAUAGAUGACAUGUAAUUGCAAUACGUGUCUGUGAAUUGGUAUGUUUGCUUCUUUAUUAUGCUCUUAUAUUAGGAUAUACUUGGAGAAAGAGGAUAGAGAAUUUAUAUUAUUUCAUAUUUUCUUUUAUGUGUAUUGAGUGAAAUUUUGGGGUAUUUGUUGUGAUUUCAUACUUUUUUAGUUGUUGUUGUUUUUCUUUGGCUUAAUUAAUUUGUCUUAACUUGUUUUCAUAUUAAAAAAUGUGGAUGGAGCUAAAUUAUAUACUGAUGAGUUAAAUAAUUUGGGUAUCUAGAUUUCUAGAUAUGUGGAUGAAGUAUAUCAAUUAAUUGUCUUUAAUGGUGGAUUUGUAAGGACAUAUAAUAUUUGGAUUAAUCAUAUAGAAGUUAUAUUUUUUUGGUCUAGUUUUUUUCUUUUUAUGGUUGGAUGAUACCGUUUAGACUAUCAUUUACUUGAAUGAUGCUACUGAAUUAGAUCAUUUUAUUGAGUUGUAUAGAACUUAUCACGUUCAAAAUGCAAUCAUUCUACCGGUGGUGCAUUAUAGGUUUCAACUUGGUUCACUUGCAUAUGUGAAGACCCAUAGUUUAGAUGAACUCUUCUUUUGAUAAUUAACAAAUAAUGAUAAGAAGUACUAAUGAUUCAAGUCAAGUGAUUUAUUUAUUAAAAUAAACUCAAAUGUGGAGUUCAUGAAAUAUGCCUACCAAAGUACCAAAAUGAUUGGAAAAGACGUAAACUUUAAAAUGAAGUUGAAAUGAUAUGCAAACAAGGAUAGGAUAAAACUUUGGAUACAUGUUUGAUAGCUCCAAGUAUCAAACAUGAAAAAGCGGUAUUAAAUGAUGAAGGAAUGAUGCUUGUAUCAAACAUGAUGUGCAAAACCUUUACUCAAGUGGUCUACCAGAGGAUGAAACCAAAAGAAAGUAAAGAAAGCCCCUGCAUGGUAAGGAGAAUAAGUGAUGAAAUAAGAGUAUCAAGAUCAAUGAGAUUUGAAGAAAAUAUGAAAAAGAGAUAUAAGUUAAGAAAGACUUGAUAAAGAAGGUUUAAAUCUUGAUCUAAACUUUAAUUAUAUCAAUGAAAAUUCAUGAAAGAAAGUGAGUUUGAGACAAUUUGAAGAAAAAAAGAAAAAUUAGAAAAAAAUUGAAAAAAUGUACUGGAGAAUGAAUAGUAAUAUUAUGGCAGUGACAGGACGUCCGAUGUGAUGACCCAGAAAAUUAUUUUCUCACCUCCCAACUAUUUGUAUUUUUAUUUAAAUUAUAUUUUUAUAAAGUUUGCAUUCAUUUAACGAUUUACUUGUUAAUUGUUAAACGAGUUUCUCUUACUUGUACAUUUUAACUUUCGAGCGUUUAAUUUCUUGAAAAUUGUUGAUUUUGCGACUUAUUAGUGAAUUUGGCCAAAACCCUAGAAAAAAUAUAAGUUGAGAUAUUAGUGAAGUUAAGAAAGAUUUUGGGAGUUAAAAGAAGAUUAGAAAAGCUAAGGAUUGAUAGUAAAAAAGCUUAAGUGGAAGACACUAUUGAUCACUAUUCAAAGUUGACUUAGAGAAACCUUCUUGUGGCUUGUAUAUUAAUUCCAAAAGCAACCCAAAGCCUUCAUUUCUUCUCCUUGGCUGGCCUAAAAUAGAGAGAGGAAGAGAGAGUGAUAGAUUUCAGAUUUUCUUGAGAUUCUUGAAAAUCCAAACUACCCUUUCAUCAAUCUACUUAAACCUUAGAAGAUAUUGAGAGAAGAAGACUCCUAGGAGUGGAUCUUGCUAUCUUCUUGGUUUAAUCUUGCAAGGGUUUGAAACUUUGAAGAGGUAAGUGGCUAAUCUACUUCAUUCUUUAACCUUUCAAGCAAUUUUGGAUUUAUGGUAUUUAUGGAAAACCUAUGGUGGAUUUGAAAGUUUUAUGGAAGUUUAGUAUUAGAUGCUUUAAUGAUCUUGGUUUAUUUAAAUCCUGGUAUGUUUGGCUAGAAAUUGGUGGAGUCUUGUCUCUUGAGAUCCUAGGGUUAAUUAUUGAUGAAACCCUUAAGGAUUUCAGUUCUAUUUCUAGUGAUUUGUUGGUGAAAAUGGAAGAAAUCUCUAUGUCCACCAAGUGUUUGAUCUUUUGUUAAGAGUUGCUUAUGUGCAAAUUUUCAUGAUUUUUCUUGCUAACAAUCUUGGCUAUAUAUUGUUUGAUAUGUUCAUGGAUUUGUUAUGGAAAAAUUGGGAAGAUUUGAUGGAGAAAUGUUUGGAAAAUUCUUGUGGGAAAAUUCUGCCUUUGCUGUCCAAAACAGGGGAAGAUAUUCCAGUCUUGAUUUCUAUUUUUCUUAUUAAUUUUGGGCAAGUUUAACACAUCAUUCUUUACUUGUAUGUUGAAUUUGAACCAAAACUAUGAAUUUCUUCCUUGUUUUGUUGUUGGAAAGUUUGUAAAAUGGACUGAAACUCAGAGAGCAUUUUCAGUCAACUUGUUAGAUUUUCUCGUAUUAAUUGAAAACAAAUUAGAGUCUAAAUUUUAUACUAUUGUAAAGCCCUUUGAGUCUAGUUUCAAACGCAACCAACGGCAUUCGAUUUCGAUUUUUCUACAUUGAGUUAUAGCUAUUUUCCCGAGACUGCUCAAAUGCCGUGAUAUAAUGCGACAGCUUUCUUGUGCCUCUGUGAUUGCUAUUUUUUACCACAAAAAUGCAUGAACUGAAUUUCGAUAUCUUCAUAAGAGAGUAGAUCUAUGUCUUAGCUUUAAAAAGCCAUAAAAUUCAUCUCAAUCUGAUAAGUGUACCUCCAGUUAUGAUUAAAAUACCGAGAGGUGUCAAAGCUGUCACUUUGAUUCUUCUCCUUUGCACUCUUUCCUUCAUUUUUCUUGGUUCAAUUUAACAUUUUUCACUCCAUAUCAUACCUGAACUAUUGACCUAACAUGUACAUGGAUUUUUCCUUUGAAUUGAGCUUGAAAACAUGUGUUUUGGAAGACUUUUAAGGACGUAAAAAUAUGGAAAUCUUGAGGAACAUCUUGGGACUUCUAAGUUGGGACUUGGGAGUAGUUUUGAUUAAAUGGUGGUUUGGAGUAGUGAAUCUCAUUGUACUCUAAUUACUUGGUUCUAGGACUUGGAAGUGAACACAAGAUUGGCACCCGAGGCGGACAUUUGAGCUUUGCUUUACAUGGUGAGUGUCAAGUGCAUGUUUCUUGAUAUCUUAAUUUGAAUGAUACCACGUGUUAUGUGUUGAAUUCUAAACUAGAUGAGACGAGGGUGUACUUUAUCCCACUCGUCCUCCCCUUCUUGAAUGAUCUUGUACUCGCUUGAACUUGAUUGAGCUGUACUUGUGUUUGUGCUUGUGCUUGACUUGUAAGUGAUGAGCGGCAGCAUGUACCACCCUCAAUCCGAGUGGGAGGUGCCUCUUAUCCCGUCUCAAUACCUCUAUCUUGAUUAAGUCGAUUGGAGCGUUAUCUCAUCGACCAUACUUGUUCUUACUUGGGUAUAUUCGAGUAUUAUCACCACUAUUUCUAUUUAGCGUUCGAACCCGGUAGGGGGUGAAUCGGUGGAUGGGGAUUCGUGUCAAGUGAAUUCUACGGACUUGUCAUUUGCGUGGUUGACGGAGUGUCAACAAAAGAAAAUGAUAUCCAAGAUUGCGAAAUGGUAAACUUGUGGCUUAACUUCUGAGAGUUCCUGUAUCCUUUUAAUGAACGUGUUUUAGUCUUUUAUUAGCUUUACGUGGAACUAUUAUUGUUAUUCGGUGCAUGUGCCACUUGAGUUGAAUUAUGGUACUUGUUUUACUUGCUUGCUUGUUUUCUUGGCCUCACUGAGCGUUAACUCAUUUCUUUUAGUUUGUUUUCCUUAGCAAGCGUUGGCAACAUGGAAGUAGGGAAAUAGACAGUUCGAGAGUUGGCGUCUAGAUUUAAGUAAUUUGUCAUUUUAGUUGUACUUGAUGAUUUGAUUAGACGACUUAGAUUUUAUCCGUUUGAUUAUACGUAUAAGUAGGGAUAACUCGGAAUAUUGGAUGGUCUAUAAUGUUUAACCAUGAAGUUUUAAUACUUACUUUGAGGUUAAUACUAUUGGAGUUUUGGAAUUGUUAUUAUUCUCUGAGAUUCGUAAGUGAGUCCUGACGAGAGUUGGGCAGACGCCCCGCUAAACCCUCUGGUUCGCCUUAGGGGAAGGUGGGGCUGUCACAUCUGAGCCAAAGGAUACUGCAUCUGAGCCAUUGUCCGAAUCCCAUUACAGCUAGUUUUAACAUCUUUAUUUUUUUAUUGUUGUAGCUUUUUUUUUCAUUGCUUUCAUCUAUAAAGGAUCCAAGGACGCCCAUAUAAAGUAGUUUUUUGACUUGUAAUUGUUCUAGUUCAUAUAAAAAUUAGUUUGGUUAAGAAAUCUUUAUAAUCUUAAGAUUGUGAACUCAAAUUGUUAGUAUACUUCAAGUGUCAGUUUGGAGAGAUACUGAUUUUCACAAAUGGAAGUUGUUGGUAUAAAACUCUUGACUCAACUAAAGUAGAGAGGUUUAGUAUGAGUAAGAGUAAGUCUCAUUUGUGUACAAGAAAGUUAUUGUCUCACCUACAAUGAAGAGUCACUUAGUGGAGGAAAAUUUAAGUUUUGAGAAACUUGGAAAUGGAAGUUUACUUCAAAGAGGAAGUCAAACCAUUAUUAAUUGGUUUGCAUACCUUUAAUUUCCUUUACUUUUUUAAUCUUAUUUGUUGUGAACUUAAUUGCAUUUUUUUUAUCUACUUGAAUCUCUUUUUUUUUUUUUGAGUUUGUCAUUUUCAGUAUUUUGAAUUAUCUUGGUUGAUUUUAAUUUGCUAUUUUUUUAUCAACUUAAUUCAUCCCCUCUUAAGUUAUUAUGGACUAAUAAUGUGAAAUUAUAUUUACGAGGAAUACCUUUAUUCGGUUUUUCGCCCAUUUGAUGAAUUGCCUGCAAAUACUCGUUAUCAUUUUGGGCCUUUUGUUGAUUUUGAAUUUCUUAUGACCUUAUUUUGCUUUGUGAAAGGUCCCUAGAAAAAUUUCAUCACAAUAAUCCCCUAAAUAUGCAUCUUAGAAAGUACUUAAUAUCCACAAUAAGGCAGCUAUUUCCGACCUUGGAGUCCCUGAUUAUAUCAAAAUUGAACAAAUGCAGCCCAGUAGCUUCCUCAACCCCUUGGCUAACUAGUUAUCAACUCAAUGGAGGCAACUAUAGCCCUUCCAAGGCAGCCAAGCUGGUCUCACUAAGGGUUACUACACCCGAGAUCCAGUAUUCGAGUCUUGUAACAAAAAUAGGAAAUAACCCAACAACCCGAAUAAGGGUUGGGGUCUGCAGUGGGACCAGGUCCUUUUUUUGUUUAAAAAAAAAUGGAUGCAACUCUCCACAAUCCGAAUUACUCACGAUACAUGUUGGCAAUGUAAGGACUCGUAAAAUUAUUAUUUUUCGACCCCUAAUUUUUGUUCAUUUAAUUAUUUAUUCAAAUAUUUGCUCCGAUUAUUAUUUUCUAGCCUCAUUAGACCUAAGUACAUGAUAUUAUAGUUUCGUUACAUUUUUAAAGUGUCUCAUUUCAAAAAUUAUUUUCUUAGGAGCCUGUUUAGAGAAAAGGUGAAAACGCGUUUGGAAAAUCUUUGCCAAUAAAAAGUACAAUUAGGCCGGAAAAAUUUGAGACACGUACAACGGUUUUAAAAUAGGUAAUUUUAGAUUUAAAUACUUAAGUGAUAGUUAAUAGUAUUAUCGUUAUAAGAAUUUCUCGGAGGUUUCGCGUUAUAGCGUUAAAAUUGACGGUACGCAUUUUCACACGUGCGACUUUAUUUGAGGGACUUUAGACCCUUAUUUCGGGACAACUAAGAGUGAAUAAUAUUUAUAUGAGCAUAAGUGCUUUAGAGGUUUAGUGCACUAGUGAACCAAACGCGAGAGAAAUCGAGCCCUAAACGCACCAAACGAGCCCUAAUCAGAGUUGAUCUUGGAGUGAAUUUACACCACUCAUUUUAAUCUUCUCUUGGAAGUUAACCUUGAUCAAAUUUCACUCUUUCUUCUCUCUCCUAUUGCUGGCCAGCCCCUCUCCCUCUCUAACUCCCUUGUUUCAAAAAUUUCUUCACCAAAUCAACAACAAAACUCCAACCAAUCUUCACCAAACUUGUAGCUCAACUAGGAAACUACUUGGAGGUUGGAUCUAGCUAACUGAAGGGCUGCAUUUCAUGGUUUCUUGGAGCCUCUUGAGGACCAAAAUUUUCUGAUCUAAAGCACUAAGGAGGUAUAACAUAAUCCAACACCUUAAACUUGGUUUAUGGUAGUAGAAAUGCAUCUCUAAGCAAUUGCAUGUAUAUGGAUGGCUUGAUAUUGUUGAAAAAUUUGAAAGUGGGCUCUAUGAACUCCCACUCUUGGGUUGUUGCUGAUAAUAGGUUUAAUGUUGGCUUUAAUGGUAGUUUAGUGGUUAAAAUGAUAGAUUUAUGGAGUAUUAUUGUUGGAAACUCAAAGUUGAGGCCAUGACAAAAAUUUCCGAAACUGCCCCUGCUUUGUUCGGCCAUGAUAAGGCCAAUUUUUGAUGAUCUAAUGGCUUGAACCUGAUUUUUAUAUGUUGUAUUAGAUGUGUAAAAAUUUUCAUUGGAAAACAUUAACGUUUGGUUGGGCAAAUGAAUUUAUUUGUGAACUAGUCAAGCUGGAAAACUGUUUUCGGAUAACCCUGACCAGCGGUAGCAUUUUGACCAUAACUUUGUCCUCCGAUGUCAAAAUCGAGUGCCGUCAGUGGCAUUUGAAACUAGACAUCCAUACCUUUCCAACGGUAUAAAAUUCACAUUCUGAUUCCAUGUGUAAGAGCCGAACCAUUCAUUUUAAAACAGCUGUCCUGUUUCUCUAUUCUGUUGGAAUGAUUUGUUCAGGCAGCAACUUGAGGCUCAAUUUCGAGCUGGUUGUUUGCCAAAUUUCAGAACGUUUUCUUCUGUGAAUUUUUAGCCCUAUGAAUUUAUUUUCCAACGCCAUAAACCAUGCUCAAUUCCGAGUUAAUGCGACUGAGUUGUGAUCAAAACAAGAACACUGCUCUGUUUUGGAAAAACCUAGUUUUGGACAGAUUUGAGAUGAGACUUGUUGUGGUCUUACUAAAUGAAAUUCUUGGUGUUAAACACCUACCAAAUGUACCAUGAAUGUUCCAUAGACUUUCCUUUCACAUAUGAACCAUGAUUGGAGGAUUUUCUUAGCCAAACGAUUAGAUUUGGAAAGAAAAGGAUUAAAAGCAGAUUGCCUUAAGAAUUUUUCCAAACUUUAGUUGGUUCGUUGACUAUCUUCCCGAAGAUAUUUUUCUGUCAAACUUGAUAGAGAGAUACCCUUCAUAUAAGAGUAAAAUACUACCAAUUUUGGUAUCGAUUCAAGUUCGUUUCGAUACCUAACUAAACUUCCAAUGUUGGAAGUUCAAAUCUGGAAAUUCUUCUCCAGUCUUGAAUUUUCCCCAACUUUGAGCUACUGUAUCUCGGUACUCGAAACUCUGAUUCCUGAUCCGCUUGCUCUGCUAUAAACUUCACUUGCAACUCUAAUUGAGUUACAAAUUUCAGAGGCCGGUUCGCAACGUGUGAAUUUUGCCGAAUUUUCAAAGUUGGCCAAAAUCCAACUUAAUUCUGCCUUGUGAAUCGAUUCAGUACCUUCAAGCUUAUUUUUGAGCACUUUCCACUUCGAUUCAUGGAAAAGUGUCUUCUAGGAACUUGUAGUACUUUCUAAGAGGUUUCCAACGGUAUAAAGUUUUCCAAUUCUUGACUUAUGCCGAGUGAGUUACGAUUUUUCAAAAAUUCAUAACAAAACUGAAAUUUUCCAAUUUUCAAGGAAAUAGAGUUUUUCAAAAACUCUUUAUUCUGUUGAUAUUAUCUAAACGUUUUAUCCCCGAUUUCCUAGAUAAAUACUUAAAUACUUUUGAACGUCAUCAAACCCCACUCGAACCUCGAUUUACGAGUAAUUGGGAUUCAUUUUCACGGAAUUCUCUAGAUUAAUACUAGUGAACGAAUUAUUCCUCGAUAAUUAGGAUAUGAAUGAUAAUUCAUUAUUAUUUGCUCAAGCGCACACGAGGACCUUCAAGAGAAUCCCACGGUGGACGCUUGAACUUUCCUUGACCUUAGUUACACUUAAUACUUGGUGAGUGUCAAAUGUAUGUAAACUUGUUACAUGCUUAACUGUUAUUAAUGAUUGGAAAUCUUGAAAGUGGAGUCGAGUGUGUACUUUACCACACUCGUUCUCAUUAGAAAUGAAAUUUUAAUGAUUGAAAUGUAUUGAAUGAAUGAUUGAAACGUAUUGAAUGAAUGAAUGAAAUGUAAUAGUAUGCUAUAACUGCAUACGUCGUUGGAGUGAAUCUCCUCGACACACAAAUGCACAUGGGGACGCCCAGAUCUCAUUGGCCGACCUUGGAUUCGAGCCGACAUGGGUUUGGUCGGGAACCUUGGCGAGCCAUGAGAUAUAUAAGCCUGACCUAAUGAGAAGUCUUGCUUGACAUACUCGAGUAGUAUCGCCACAAACAAAUGACAGGCGGGCCCGAUACAGGGGUAUGUAAGGUGAAAGGGGACAGGUUAAGUGGAGUUCUACGGACUAAACCUAUCCGAUUGACGGAGUGUCAAUUCGUGGAGGUUAUUGAAUGUGCAAGUGGAAUAUAUAGCUCCUGAGAGCUCCAGUAUCCUUGAAUUGUUUCUGGUUAUCUUUCCAGUAAAUUGUUAAUUAUUAAAAUAUGAUUGCUUGACUUGUAAAUUGGGAUUGUUAUUUGAGCAAUGUGCUUGCCUGUGCGUUUUUGGCCUCACGAGCGUUUUGCUCACCCUGUAGAUUUGUUUUCCUUAACAGGACUGGAUUCGGAGACAUAUUGGAGAAACCCUCCUGAUGUACUAUUGUUUAGGGUUUCUAUCAUUUUUUGUCUAUGCCUCUUGGUUUUGGGUUGUGCUUUUGUAAUUGAAAUGUAGUAUUUGGGCAUAAGGUAUAUUUGGGUUUAAAGUUGUAUUUUGAACACCCGAUGUACGGGUUGGAUAAUGGAUGACCAUGGUUAAACUUGAACGCUUUCGCAUUAUUGUAUUUAUGUUAUUGUACUUGUGAAGUUAGUUUGGUAAUAAGUUUGAAUGUUUUGCGUGAGUCCUGGCGAGAGUUGGGCAAGCGUCCCGCAGAUACCCUUUGGUUCGCCAUAGGGAGAAGUGGGAGCGUCACAGUUGGUAUCAGAGCGCUAGGUUAGCGCUAGGUUAGAGAUCUAUAUGGGAGACAUAUUGGAUACUCUACCCUUAAGACCUGAGACCGGAUAAUUAAGUUAUACUUUAAAGGAUAUUUGGGACAUACUAGUGAUCGGGCUAGGCAUGCAUAAACGACAUUCGAACUAGAUAGUGAUUUAACUUUCUAACUCGAAAAGUGCUAUUAUUUUGCAGGGAUGAAAAAUGAAAAUGGAGUUCCGGCAGCUAACGGGGAUGGCCAUGCGAAUGGUCAUGUAGUGCCUCCUAGGCCUAUCUAUUACCGAGCUUUAGUUGGGGAAGCUCGUGCACGCUACUCGCCUGAUCCUCGAUACCCCCGAUGUGCUUGCAGGGUGACUUUUGCUUACCCAAACCAUGUUGUACUGGCCUUGGACGACGAGCGUCGUCAGUUGGUGACUGCCAACUUGGAUUUACAGGCUGAGGUGGACGAGCUUCGACAGAUGGUAAACGCUCAGGGCGAGAGGGUCGCCGAGUUUGAGGAGGUGAUUGAGAGCGAGAUGGCCACAUUUGCUGUGGUUAAUGAGGAGUUCCGGAGCACUAGGGCUCAGCUUACUAGGUUGAGAGAGGAGGUCCGUAGUCGGGCUUCCGAUAUCGUAGCUGAUGCCACUAGGCUAGUGGACGAGGCGAUGGGUGGAGCUCAGGACUCUGAGGAGGAUCCUGAGGAGGAGGUUCCUCCUGAUAGUCCUACUGUGAACUAGGUCUAGGCAGUUUGACCACUCUUUUGACCAGUAUAGCUAGAAUUAGUUUGGGUGAUGCUAAGUGCCGAGUCCAUUGUAUUUUGCAUGACUGUGUGGCUUAUUUUGAAGCACUUACUCUUACUUUAGUCUUCUGUGACUAAAAGCACUUCUGUGGCACCUGUGUGCUAUAUUUUUGUGACUACCCCAUGACUUGCUAAUUGUAUGAACUUGAUAUGCUAAUAAAUGUAAAUUAUUGUUAAUUCCAAUAUUUUCUUGAUCGGUUCCUGUUCUUUACUUUGCACCGCAUAAUUUAUUUAUUUAUUUCUUGCAUUAGGCAGGCCUAAGUUAUGGAAGGGCUAAGAAGGGGUUGAGGCCGUGGGCGAGGGACUAGACCGGCCCAAUCUCUGGGGAAUGACCAAGGAUCGGCAACUGGACCGACCCAGGGCCAGGAAAAUAUAGAGAGUAAUCAAGUGGCUACUGCCAUUAACAGGAUGACUGAUAUCCUAGAACGCUUAGCUGAUAGACCAGGACUUGGACCGUUCAACCAACCCGGGGGUCAGGAAAGAGGAGAGGAUAGAGCCCUAGAGAGGUUCUUAAAAUUUAACCCGCCUAAGUUCCUUGGCGAACCUGAUCCUGAGGUAACGGAGAAUUGGUUAGAAAGGAUGACCAACAUAUUCGCUACUUUAGAUUACACUGAGGAUAGGCGAGUGAACUUUGCUGCUUUCCAAUUUGAGCGAGUAGCCCGUGCUUGGUGGGAUCUAAUAAAAGAAAAAUAGGAAAGGGCUCAAACCCCUUGGAUUUAGGAGAAUUUCACAAGGGAAUUUAAUGAAAAGUUUCUUCCGUCCUUAAUCCAAGAGAAGAGGGAGGAUAAAUUUAUUAAGUUGAAACAAGGAACCCUUACCGUAGCAGAAUACGAGGGAAAAUUCACUAAGCUUUCCAAGUAUGCCCCUGAGCUAGUGGUCAAUGAACGAAAGAGGAUUAGACGGUUUGUUCAAGGACUUAAUGUGGAGAUACAAGAGGGUUUGGCUGCAACCCAAAUCUCUACAUUCACUGAGGCACUAGAGAAAGCUCAAAGGGUAGAAAAUGCAAGGAUGCAAGUGAGAGACUUCCACAGUAGAAAAAGAAACUUUCCUAGCCAUACCUCUGGACAAGCAAGUAAGAGUGCACAACCUUCCAAGAUGGGAAGAGGAGCAGGAGGAGUGAAGUCUGUUGGAGCUUUUAGGGGAGCUCUAUCUAGAGGGAGUCGUAGUGGGACGACUCAAUUUAGGGGAGCGCCUCCUACUGGAUCAGCCGUGACUCCUCAAGUUACAUGUGGAUACUGCGGUAAAUCCAACCAUUCUGAGAACGAUUGCUGGAGAAAGUCGGGGAAAUGUUUAUUUUGUGGUAGUACUGAAUAUCAAGUCGUCAAUUGUCCAAAAUCACCAAAGACAAGGGGAAAUGCUCAAAGGCCAGAAAAGUCAACUUCAAAGUAGACCAGUGCCGAAGGGAGCCGACCGAAAGUACCGGCCAAGAUUCGUGCACUGGAUUAUCAACAAGCUCCUGAGGCAACUGAGGUGGUAGAAGGUACAAUCCCAAUCUUUCACCGUUUAGCUAGGGUUUUAAUUGAUCCGGGUGCAAUUCAUUCCUUUGUAAACCCUAACUUCAUGAAUGAAAUAGACUUGAAGCCAAUUAAGUUACCCUAUGACUUGGAGGUUAAAACACCCACUGGAGACAAAAGCUUAAUUGCUAAUUUGGAGUAUAGGAAUAGUGAAAUCUAUGUAGGGGAACGAAAAUUAUGGGCCGACUUGAUCGGUUUGACGAUUAAGGGAUACGAUGUAAUCUUGGGAAUGGAUUGGUUAGCCCGUUAUAAUGCUCAGUUAAACUGCAGGACGAAUAUUGUAGAGUUGCGUAUUCCAAGAGAAGCAACCCUGAAACUAGAUGUAAGGGGUAAAUUAGUUUCGUCUGCACUUAUUUCAGGAAUUCGGGCUAGAAAAUUAUUAAGUAAAGGAGCUCAAGGGUAUUUGGCUUUUCUUAUUAACACUCCUAUUGAUAAGGUGAAUUUGGAAGACACACCGGUAGUAAAGGAUUUUUCAGAUGUUUUUCCUGAAGAAUUGGAAUCUCUACCCCCGGAACGGAAAAUAGCUUUUAAGAUCGAUAUGAUUCCGGGAGUGGCACCUAUUUCUAGAACACCAUAUCGGAUGGCUCCAGCGAAAUUUAAAGAGUUGAAAUUACAACUGCAAGACCUAUUGGAAAGGGGAUUUAUAAAAGAGAGUGAUUCUCCGUGGGGAGCCCCAGUCUUGUUUGUUAAGAAAAAGGAUGGGAGUUUGAGACUGUGUAUAGACUAUAGAGGUUUGAAUGACGUCACCAUUAAGAAUAAAUACCCACUGCCCCACAUUAACGAGUUGUUUGACCAAUUGCAAGGAGUUGUAGUAUUCUCGAAAUUGGAUUUGAGAUAGGGUUAUUAUCAGUUGAGGAUUUUGGAAAAGGACAUACCCAAAACUGCUUUUAACUCGAGAUAUGGCAAUUUUGAGUUUGCCGUGAUGCCAUUCGGGUUAACAAAUGCUCCUGCUACUUUUAUGGAUUUAAUGCAUAGGGUUUUUAAUCCCUAUUUGGACCAAUUUGUAGUAGUGUUCAUUGAUGAUAUUUUGGUGUAUUCUAAGAAUGUGGAGGAUCAUGAGAAGCAUUUGAGGAUUGUUCUGCAAGCUUUAAGGAAACAUCAACUAUAUGCUAAAUUUAGUAAGUGUGAGUUCUGGUUAAAAGAAGUGAUUUUCUUGGGACACAUAAUUUCUAAGAAUGGGAUUAAAGUAGAUCCAGCUAAAGUUGAAGUUGUUUCGAAAUGGAAACGACUGGAAAACUCUACCGAGAUUCGGAGUUUUAUUAGAUUAGCAGGGUAUUACCGGAGAUUCAUUCAAGAUUUUUUGAAAAUUGCUGGACCCAUAACUGAAUUGACCAAGAAAAAUGGGAAGUUUUUAUGGAAUCCUAAAUGUGAGGAAAGUUUUCAGGAAUUGAAAGGGCGGUUGACAAGGGCACCUAUGUUAGCUUUGCCAAACGGAAAGGAUAGUUUUGUGGUUUACACAGAUGCUUCUAAGGAAGGAUUGGGGUGUGUUCUAAUGCAAAAUGACAGAGUGAUAGCAUAUGCCUCUAGGAAAUUGAAACCGCAUGAAGGGAAUUACCCGACUCAUGACUUGGAGUUAGCAGCUGUGGUUUUUGCUUUAAAGAAAUGGAGGCAUUAUCUGUAUGGAGUGACAUUUGAGGUUUUUACAGACCACAAAAACCUUAAGUACUUAUUUUCUCAAAAGGAAUUGAAUUUGAGACAACGUAGAUGGAUGGAAUUUUUUGGAAGACUAUGACUGUACGAUUAAAUACCAUCCAGGGAAAGCUAAUGUAGUGGCUGAUGCUUUGAGUCGCCAAGUACAGAUGGCUGGAUUGAUGAUUAAGGAAUUCGAAUUGUUGAAAAAUGUUAGUCAGUGGAAUCCUCGACUGGAACCGAGAAAAGUAAUUCUGGGGAACAUUGUAUUGAAUUCUCCUUUGAUGGAACGUAUCAAGGAAUCUCAAGGAAAGGACACUGAAGUACAGAAAUGGUCGGAAAAGGUUAAAAAGGGAGACAAAUCGGAUUUUAACUUGGGACCGAAUGGUGUAUUGAGAUUUCAAAAUCGGGUAGUCGUGCCAAAGGAUGAAGGGCUUAGAAAGAAAAUUUUAGAAGAGGCACACCGAUCAAAGUUUACAGUACAUCCAGGAGGGAAUAAAAUGUACCAGGACUUGAAGAGUCUUUAUUGGUGGGAGAAUAUGAAGAAGGAGAUUACUCAAUUUGUUCAAACAUGCUUAAUUUGUCAACAGGUUAAAGCCGAACAUCAGAAACCAUCAGGGCUUUUGCAACCUCUAGAAAUACCUGAGUGGAAAUGGGAGAAUAUCACUAUGAAUUUUGUAUCGGGGUUACCAAGAACACAGAGAGGCCAUGAUGCGAUUUGGGUAAUCGUGGAUAGAUUGACCAAAUCAGCUCAUUUUCUGCCGAUUAUUAUGAAAUACCCAUUGGAGAAGUUGGCCAGGUUGUAUUUGGAUGAGAUCAUUAGGUUGCAUGGAAUACCUGUCAGUAUCGUGUCGGAUAGAGAUCCAAGAUUUGUUUCGAGGUUCUGGCAAAAGAUGCAAGAAGUGUUAGGGACUAAAUUGAACUUUAGUACCACUUAUCAUCCCCAGACGGAUGGACAGUCGGAGAGGACAAUUCAAACUCUUGAGGACAUGUUACGGACUUGUGUUCUGGAUUUUGGAGAGAGUUGGAGUAAGUUUUUUACUUUAGUGGAGUUUGCCUACAAUAAUAGUUCCACUCUUCUAUUCAGAUGGCCCCGUAUGAGGCACUUUAUGGUCGGAGAUGUAGGUCUCCACUUUGUUGAGAUGAAAUAGGUGAACGGAAAAUCUUAGAUCCGACCACAGUAUCUUGGAUUGAAGAAACUAAUGAGAAAGUAAGGUUGGUACGCCAAAGAAUUCAGACCGCCCAGAGCCGCCAAAAGAGUUAUGCCGAUAAUCGAAGAAAAGAUUUGGAAUUUACUGUUGGAGAUUUGGUAUUUCUCAAGAUUACACCUUUGAAAGCAAGUUUGAUGUCAGGAAAAGGAAAGAAGUUACAGCCAAGGUUUGUAGGGCCUUACAAGGUUAUCCAACGUGUAAGGAGUGUAGCCUAUAAGUUGGAAUUACCGCUGAGUUUGUCUCGAAUCCAUAAUGUGUUCCAUGUAUCUAUGCUCAAGAAGUAUCAUCCGGACCCUUCUCACGUCUUGCAACCGGAAAAUGUUGAGAUUGAUGAGACUUUGACCUAUGAGGAAAAACCGGUUAAGCUUCUGGAUAGGAAGGUGAAGGAAUUGAGGAAUAAACAGAUACCAUUAGUAAAAGUCCUUUAGAAGAACUAUGGGUUGGAGGAAGCAACUUGGGAGGUCGAAAAAGCAAUUCGAGAAAAGUAUCCAAACCUGUUCGCCAAUCAAGGUAAAUUUCGAGGACGAAAUUUUCUUAAGGGGGAGAGGAUGUGAGGACUCGUAAAAUUAUUAUUUUUCGACCCCUAAUUUUUGCUCAUUUAAUUAUUUAUUCAAAUAGUUGCUCCGAUUAUUAUUUUCUAGCCUCAUUAGACCUAAGUACAUGAUAUUAUAGUUUCGUUACAUUUUUAAAGUGUCUCGUUUCAAAAAUUAUUUUCUUAGGAGCCUGUUUAGAGAAAAGGUGAAAACGCGUUUGGAAAAUCUUUGCCAAUAAAAAGUACAAUUAGCCCGGAAAAAUUUGAGACAUGUACAACGGUUUUAAAAUAGGUAAUUUUAGAUUUAAAUACUUAAGUGAUAGUUAAUAGUACUAUCGUUAUAAGAAUUUCUCAGAGGUUUCGCGUUAUAGCGUUAAAAUUGACGGUACGCAUUUUCACACGUGCGACUUUAUUUGAGGGACUUUAGACCCUUAUUUCGGGACAACUAAAAGUGAAUAAUAUUUAUAUGAGCAUAAGUGCUUUAGAGGUUUAGUGCACUAGUGAACCAAACGCGAGAGAAAUCGAGCCCUAAACGCACCAAACGAGCCCUAAUCAGAGUUGAUCUUGGAGUGAAUUUACACCACUCAUUUUAAUCUUCUCUUGGAAGUUAACCUUGAUCAAAUUUCACUCUUUCUUCUCUCUCCUAUUGCCGGCCAGCCCCUCUCCCUCUCUAACUCCCUUGUUUCAAAAAUUUCUUCACCAAAUCAACAACAAAACUCCAACCAAUCUUCACCAAACUUGUAGCUCAACUAGGAAACUACUUGGAGGUUGGAUCUAGCUAACUGAAGGGCUGCAUUUCAUGGUUUCUUGGAGCCUCUUGAGGACCGAAAUUUUCUGAUCUAAAGCACUAAGGAGGUAUAACAUAAUCCAACACCUUAAACUUGGUUUAUGGUAGUAGAAAUGCAUCUCUAAGCAAUUGCAUGUAUAUGGAUGGCUUGAUAUUGUUGGAAAAUUUGAAAGUGGGCUCUAUGAACUCCCACUCUUGGGUUGUUGCUGAUAAGAGGUUUAAUGUUGGCUUUAAUGGUAGUUUAGUGGUUAAAAUGAUAGAUUUAUGGAGUAUUAUUGUUGGAAACUCAAAGUUGAGGCCAUGACAAAAAUUUCUGAAACUGCCCCUGCUUUGUUCGGCCAUGAUAAGGCCAAUUUUUGAUGAUCUAAUGGCUUGAACCUGAUUUUUAUAUGUUGUAUUAGAUGUGUAAAAAUUUUCAUUGGAAAACAUUAACGUUUGGUUGGGCAAAUGAAUUUAUUUGUGAACUAGUCAAGCUGGAAAACUGUUUUCGGAUAACCCUGACCAGCGGUAGCAUUUCGACCAUAACUUUGUCCUCCGAUGUUGAAAUCGAGUGCCGUUGGUGGCAUUUGAAACUAGAUAUCCAUACCUUUCCAACGGUAUAAAAUUCACAUUCUGAUUCCAUGUGUAAGAGCCGAACCAUUCGUUUUAAAACAGAUAUCCUGUUUCUCUAUUCUGUUGGAAUGAUUUGUUCAGGCAGCAACUUGAGGCUCAAUUUCGAGCUGGUUGUUUGCCAAAUUUCAGAACGUUUUCUUCUGUGAAUUUUUAGCCCUAUGAAUUUAUUUUCCAACGCCAUAAACCAUGCUCAAUUCCGAGUUAAUGCGACUGAGUUGUGAUCAAAACAAGAACACUGCUCUGUUUUGGAAAAACCUAGUUUUGGACAGAUUUGAGAUGAGACUUGUUGUGGUCUUACUAAAUGAAAUUCUUGGUGUUAAACACCUACCAAAUGUACCAUGAAUGUUCCUUAGACUUUCCUUUCACAUAUGAACCAUGAUUGGAGGAUUUUCUUAGCCAAACGAUUGGAUUUGGAAAGAAAAGGAUUAAAGGCAGAUUGCCUUAAGAAUUUUUCCAAACUUUAGUUGGUUCGUUGACUAUCUUCCCGAAGGUAUUUUUCUAUGAAACUUGAUAGAGAGAUACCCUUCAUAUAAGAGUAAAAUACUACCAGUUUUGGUACCAAUCCAAGUUCGUUUCGAUACCUAACUAAACUUCCAAUUUUGGAAGUUCAAAUCUGGAAAUUCUUCUCCAGUCUUGAAUUUUCCCCAACUUUGAAACUUCGAUUCCUGAUCCGCUUGCUCUGCUAUAAACUUCACUUGCAACUCUAAUUGAGUUACAAAUUUCAGAGGCCGGUUCGUAACGUGUGAAUUUUGCCGAAUUUUCAAAGUUGGCCAAAAUCCAACUUAAUUCUGCCUUGUGAACUGAGUCAGUACCUUCAAGCUCAUUUUUGAGCACUUUCUACUUCGAUUGAUGGAAAAGUGUCUUCUAGGAACUUGUAGUACUUUCUAAGAGGUUUCUAACGGUAUAAAGUUUUCCAAUUCUUGACUUAUGUCGAGUGAGUUACGAUUUUUCAAAGAUUCAUAACAAAACUGAAAUUUUCCAACUUUCAAGGAAAUAGAGUUUUUCAAAAACUCUUUAUUCUGUUGAUAUUAUCUAAACGUUUUAUCCCCGAUUUCCUAGAUAAAUACUUAAAUACUUUUGAACGUUAUCAAACCCCACGCAAACCUCGAUUUACGAGUAAUUGAGAUUCAUUUUCACGAAAUUCUCUAGAUUAAUACUAGUGAACGAAUUAUUCCUCGAUAAUUGAGAUAUGAAUGAUAAUUCACUAUUAUUUGCUCAAGCGCACACGAGGACCUUCAAGAGGAUCCCACGGUGGACGCUUGAACUUUCCUUGACCUUAGUUACACUUAAUACUUGGUGAGUGUCAAGUGUAUGUAAACUUGUUACAUGCUUAACUGUUAUUAAUGAUUGGAAAUCUUGAAAGUGGAGUCGAGUGUGUACUUUACCACACUCGUUCUCAUUAGAAAUAAAAUUUUAAUGAUUGAAAUGUAUUGAAUGAAUGAUUGAAACGUAUUGAAUGAAUGAAUGAAAUGUAAUAGUAUGCUAUAACUGCAUACGUCGUUGAAGUGAAUCUCCUCGACACACAAAUGCACAUGGGAACGCCCAGAUCUCAUUGGCCGACCUUGGAUUCGAGCCGGCAUGGGCUUGGUCGGGAACCUUGGCGAGCCAUGAGAUAUAUAAGCCUGACCUAAUGAGAGGUCUUGCUUGGCAUACUCGAGUAGUAUCGCCACAAACAAAUGACAGGCGGGCCCGAUACAGGGGUAUGUAAGGUGAAAGGGGACAGGUUAAGUGGAGUUCUACGGACUAAACCUACCCGAUUGACGGAGUGUCAAUUCGUGGAGGUUAUUGAAUGUGCAAGUGGAAUAUAUAGCUCCUGAGAGCUCCAGUAUCCUUGAAUUGUUUCUGGUUAUCUUUCCAGUAAAUUGUUAAUUAUUAAAAUAUGAUUGCUUGACUUGUAAAUUGGGAUUGUUAUUUGAGCAAUGUGCUUGCCUGUGCGUUCUUGGUCUCACGAGCGUUUUGCUCACCCUGUAGAUUUGUUUUCCUUAACAGGACUGGAUUCGGAGACAUAUUGGAGAAACUCUCCUGAUGUACUAUUAUUUAGGGUUUCUAUCAUAUUUUGUCUAUGCCUCUUGGUUUUGGGUUGUGCUUUUAUAAUUGGAAUGUAGUAUUUGGGCAUAAGGUAUAUUUGGGUUUAAAGUUGUAUUUUGAACACCCGAUGUACGGGUUGGAUAAUGAAUGACCAUGGUUAAACUUGAACGCUUCCGCAUUAUUGUAUUUAUGUUAUUGUACUUGUGAAGUUAGUUUGGUAAUAAGCUUGAAUGUUUUGCGUGAGUCCUGGCGAGAGUUGGGCAGGCGUCCCGCAGAUACCCUUUGAUUCGCCUUAAGGAGAAGUGGGGGCGUCACAGGCAAACUCCUGCAAAAUAAUCCAUGACUUAUAAAUAAUUCAUAUUUAUGACCUUUUAGUGUUUAAACCUUUAUUAGGGACCAUGCUAAUCUUCUCUGUGUCAUUCCAAUUAUAUCGGAUGUCCCCGAAGGGACACUUUAUUUCCGUACUAUUAAAACUGCUUCUUGUUAUUAUGUUGUCCGUACAGUAAUGGGCUUAUACACAUGGUUUUUUAAUAUCAAAUUACAAAGAAAUUCUAUUGUUUACUACUCAAUUGGGCUAAACGUACAAUUGAAAAAAAAAAGAUAAUUGUACAUAGCUGAAAACGGUUAAAGCCAAAUGAACAUUGCAAAUUUUGUGCAACAUAGAAUAUGCACUUCGAUGAAAUGUUUUCUCACGAUGUGUGUGACAAAAUAUAUUACUAUUACUUCUUCUUCUUAAUUAUCCAAAUGAAGCUACAAACGGAUAUUUUUCCGCAAAUUACAGAUAUCACAAGUAAUAGCUCUCAACUCCCAUCCCAUACAUCCUAACUUCAUUGAUGAACAUGAAAGAACAUUUUCUUUACCAUUGCAUAUGUGGAGUACACUAGCAACAGCAAGAGCAUAUCUUCAACACAUUAUCAGCUGCAGUUUCUACUUGGUGAAAUCAAAUUUUCCAUUCAUUCAUAUUUCAUGUAGUAGGUCUAGUAACUUCAAUUUUCCGGUUCCACAUUCGAUCUUGCUUUUUAUAAGAUUACUAAUUCCUUUUAACUUUCCUCUUUUUAUCGGUCUUAUUUGAUUGAAGGAUGUCUGAUUAUAAUGUGGGUCGGGAAGAUGUCCAUCAUGCUGCAGUUUUCGUGCUUCUGCCGUGCAUAUUUUUGAAGAAUAGCAAUGAAAUUCUAUCUAUAUGAAUAAAAAAAGAAAAGGAAGAAGAAGAUGAGGAAUAUCCAGAAUUUAAAAAAAAAAAAAGGUAAAGAAGCCAAGUGUAAAUUUUCUUUUCUAGGCGAAUUCAAGUGUAAAUUAAUCAUUAAAGUAUUAAAAGAUUAGUUGUACAUAAUUUAUUGCAUAAUAAAUAGAAUUUCGUGUAUGGCAUUUCUUUUAGUUUUUGUACCUCCUUUACAAAAUUUCAAAAUUCCUUUUUUUGUCCAUCAUCUGGUUAUACAAAGCAAUUGAUCCUUAACUUGAAGAUUGUAAUUAUAAGCAAUUCAUUUUCCAUGGUGGAAGAUUAGACAUGAUGUGAGAAAGAACACUUCCUGGAAUCGCAGCCAUGCUUAAACGCGACUUGAAAUGGUUCAAAGGGUGAUCAAUUUCAGUCAUGCUUAAACGUGACUUGAAAAGAUCUUCUUGUCAGCUUCGUUUAAUUAGUACUAGUAUAUGCUAAUUUGGAAAGAAAAUUAAGUUCAUUAGUAAACAUUUUUGCUAAAUUGAACCCUUCAGAUAAACUAAUGAUAUGUGCAAAGAAACGUUGGAUCUCAAUAUCCGUAACCAAUACACUUCCAGGAGGCUUUCUAGGAGAUGUAGCAGCAAACACUUCCACCCCAGCCUCACUACUAGAGCUAGCUGUGGUAGACACCAUAUUCUAAAACAAUCCUCUUGGUUUACUAGAAUUUAGCUCUAGGGGCCUUUGUCCAAUGCUUAUCCGUUGGCAAAAUAAACCAAAUCUAGAAGUUUCUAUUUAUUUAUUUAUUAAUAUUAUUGGAAUGAGGUUUUUAGUAGUUGUGUUAUUUUGGAGUUUGUAUUUUAUUUGGUAAUUUUUUAUGAAAGUAAUUUCGUAUUUUACAAAUUUUGAUAAGUUAUAAAGAUGGUAUUAGUUGGAGUAUUUUUUUAAAAAAUAAAGUAGGUUCUGUUUGAUUACUCAAUUCAGUAUCUAAACUUAAUACAUUCAGAUCUUAACAUGUUUAGAUGCGUUUAAUAACAAAAAAUUGAUUAUGUCUAUUGAUUAAGUAGCGCUAAGUUUUCUAAACAAAACUUGUUCCCAAAAAUAAGUGAUAAACUAUUCAUUUAUCACUUAAUAUGAUAGACACUCAAGUGCAUCAAAUUUAGUAUUUAAUAAUUCAAUAAUUUAAUAUAUUCAAAUUUCAAAUUUCAAAGUUCAGUUUUCAAACUUCAAUUUUAUCAAAUACAUCCUAAGAGAUUCAAGAGAGUCCAAGAGAGUUUGUUAGGAUUUAUUCUGGUGCAACUUUCUUCCAUAGUUUGAAAUAUCAAUUAUAUUGUGAGUUAUUUAUUUUCUUCUCUCCCACAUAUUUUUUGAGUGAUUAUUUCAUCCUUCAAUUUACAAAGUUGCAUGCAUAAUUAUUAUUAGAACCCUAAAUUUGGGUUCAACAUUAUUCACUACAUGAAUAUUCUUCUGCUAAGCAAUCUUAGGCAUCCAUUUCUGACUCGCUUUAGGAUGUAGAGGACAUUUACUGGUGUAGUUUCCAGAGCACUUAGCACAGCAUGGAGAAUCCAUUUAUAUUCAAUUGACUGGUAAACAGUUUCACCAACACUCAAAUUCAACACACACUCUAGCAAAUGACACCCAAGUUUGUACAUAUAACUGUGUGCUGAUCUAUAUACAAAGCUGACCAAUGAAACUAGGUAAAUUGCUAAGUAUCCCAAUUAUAUAGUAGUGCAAGCUAAGCCCAGGAAAUUGAAUCCGGACGGGAAUUGUCUUGAAUUCUUCAGAGCUAGAUCGAGAGAGGGACUCCACAGCCUUAAGAACAACACAUUUUACUACCCAAAAGGCCAAGGGACUUCUUGUAUGGAGAAAUAUAAACCAAACUUUUGCUAUUUAUUUAUGUUGCCAUGUGGCUUUAGUCUGAUUGGUUGGUUUUAUUAAGGUGGGCCAUGUAGGUAUGAAUUCUUUAUUAGUAUUAGUAAAAGUUUUUGUAUAGGAUAUAAGUACUAAGUCUGGCUGUUUGCAUUUGACAUAUAAUUAUACAGCUGCAUAAAGACAUUAUAGUGAGAAGUGUCUGUCUGCUGUGUUUUCUUUGUUUUGCGCCACUGCUUGAUUUUCAUCAAUAAAGAAUUUCUUUGCCUCUAUAUCGGUUUUUCUUGAUUGUUCUUGUGAGUUUUUGUGUAUUUAUCAUUUUGGGUCCAUCAUUGUAGCACCACAUUCUUACUACUCUCCCCCUCAAAAUGACAAAGCUUAACUAUAGGCACAAGCGAAGACUGAAUAUUCUGAGAAGGAAUAUAUGAAAAUCUCAUGUCCCCAUGAGAAGUUCCAGAUUUCAUAUGAUUUGUAGCCAAGAAGCCAGUUUCAGUGGAAAGCACUGCCUAACUCAAAACCAUUAACUUUUCUACCUUGCAUCUGAGUUUCAGCCAAAGAGGGAAAUGUAGGGAGGUCUUUCUCAAUGCUCUUCAUCUAGCUUACUACCACUCCCCUCAUCCUUAUUGAACUUUCUCUGGCUGCAACUCACUAACAUUUCUUCAAAGCAAAGAUCCAAUUGCAUACAGGAUUCAGCUUCAUUCUGGCUGCCAUAAGAAUCUAACAAGAAAACUCCAUAAAAGCUGGGAAAACAGAACCAAAACAAAAAUCCACUCCGAGACGAAGGUAAUAUAGGCAGGACUAGUGGUGGAAGAUAACAGUGUAACUCAUUGGAGCUCGGAAGCUCCAACAAUAGCAGAAAGUAGACAGACAUAGGUUAGUAUACAGCUACUUUUUUUUCAACCCAUGUUAGUAGGCGAUUACUUGAGAGAGAAAGAGAGAGAGAGAGAGAAAGUUUCCACAUCUUUUUUAUAUAUGGGAAAAGUUAAAUUGUUCUUAUCUGCAUUGGCAAGAAUGUGUUUAAAGUCAUUGAAAUUAAAUUCAAUUUGUUAAUGUAAUUCGUGUUUACUCGUACCAUGCCCAUAAACUGCACGUAUGGGAAUUAAAACUGCUCGUGUCAAAAUUUAGGUAUCAAAACUACAAUUUUCUUUUUUUUCAAUUUGUAAAUCAUGAAAAAGUAUUAAAAAUAUAUCUCAAGAUGUGAAUUCACAGCUUCCACACCUCAUAGGAGAAAUGAUAUUGGAAAAACUGAUGUUCUGUAGAUUUGAUUCGAAUCCACACAACACAGACAUUAGUUAAUCUGCCUCUUUGCACAGAUAAUGGUCAAAAUGAUUGAGAAACUUCGCAACAUUGCUGGCUCAAAGGACCAUGUGGACAAUGAUGAAUUUUUGGGGUUAAUAUGCGUCGAAAGAAGGUGUGGAUACAUAUCUCUUGAAUGCAAUCCACGGGAAACAGUUGCAUGCUAUUUUUGUAGAGUUUGUUGAAGAGAUGUUCUUCCUCUUCUUCAUGAACAUCAAUCUAUUAUUUUCACUCUAAUUUUUGUCUCAAAUUAAAAAAAAAAAAAGUUACUAAUUUUGGAUCAGUUUUUUCAACCCCUUUCUUCUUUCAUUAAUUUCAUACCAUUUGGGCUCAUUAGAAAGCAGAGUUGGCAGUAGUGGCUUGGGUUGCAGUUUAUAAGCGUUGGAUCCAAUCUUCAGCUUCUUUUUUCUGGAAUCCUCAUACACUUCAACCUAAGAUAGCUAAGAAAUGUAGGUAUCAUGUAAAACCAGGAAAAAAAAAAAAAAGAGUUAAAGAGGAUGGAGAAAAAAAUUUUGUAUCGUCCACAUGUGCUUUGCAAGUUAAUUAUGUUUAUCAAGAUGUGGAAAAGAGUACAUAAUAGAGGGUGACAUAAAAUCCUACCUCUUGAUAUAAAUGAAAUGCAAAUUUUGACAUAAAUGAAGCUAAAAAUAUUGUCUCAACAUUGUCACAAUGAUGAUAACGCGAGGCACUACAAUUUUUGACUUGAAAUCUUGUCAUGUUUGCAUAAUUUUAUUAGAUAAAUGUAGGAUUGGGAGAAAUGAAUAUGUUUCUCAAAGUUUUUGUAAGAAAAUUAUGCAUAUAUUUAUAGCUUGUACAAAGUGAAUUUAAAUAACUAAUACAUUGAAUCUAGAAUAAUUUAUAUGAGAUAAAUUCGUAAUUGAUACUAAUUAAGUAAAUCCCAAAUUAAUGCUAAUUAAUAGAAUAUAAUACACUAGUUGAUACACUAAAUCAUUUACAUUAACAUCCUACCUCAAACUUAAGGUGAGUGCAAGGAAACCAGCUUAAGUUUGCACCUAAACGUUUGAAACCCAUCAACCACAAAUAAUUUGGAUUCUUGUUCAUGCAUUUAACUUAUUUUGGCCCCCUUCUACUUUGAAAACAAUAAGGGAAAAAAUUACCUUAUGAAAGACAAUUUUGGCAAUAGAAAUUUCAGUUCGGAGUGAAUUACUCGUGCAAUAGAAGGGCAACUAAACAGGAACUACCUGAUUUUUUGUGGCAAGGGAAGUGCUGGACCAAGUUUACAAAUUUGUCAUUCUCUUUUGGGUUAUUAUCACUUUACCCCCUUAAACUAUAUCACUACUAUCAGUUUACCCCCUAACGUUAUCUUUUAUUCACUUCACCCCCAUAAGUAAUUCAACCAACAUAUUAAGAAAUUUUGGACAAAAAUACCCUUUUAUUCUAUAACAUUACUACACUGUUAUUAUUACUUUAUUCCUUUAAAUUAUAGUGAUAUAAUCUAUUUAAUUCCUAACGUUAUUUUCUUGACAUUUUACUUCAUCGUUAAUCUAACUACUGUGGUCAAAAAAUUUAAAUAUAUUUACCCUUAUAUAUAUAAUUAAAAAUAAAAAAUUUAGAAUGAUUAUUCUUCUUUUUUUUCACUUUAAGAGAUCCAAAAAUAUAAAAAUAAAAGGGUUUUCUCAAAUUUCUUUUUUCACACUUAUUAAUACUAUGAAAAGAAAAAGAGAUAGGAAAGAAGAUGACAGAAAAUUAGAUUUUGUAAAGGAAAAAAAGUCUAACAAUAUCGUAUUAAUUUAAGAUUGUUGGGAUUAGAAUUGAAAUCCGGUAAUAAACAGUAAAGUGAAAUAAUUUUAAAAUAAUAAAAGUAUUCAAUUUUUUCUUAUUUGUAUUUUCUAAAGGAAUUGAGCUCUCUCUCUCUCUCUAUCUCUCUCUCCCCCUCUCCCUCCCCCUUCCGAUCUUUCUAUUUUUUAAUAUUAAUAAGAUUGUUAAGAAGAAAGGAAUUAAUAUUUUGACUUUUUUUCUUGAUACUAAAGAGGAGAAGAGCCACUCUAAAUUUUUUAUUAAUUUUAUUAUACAAAGAGGAGGGUACUUUCUUCUAAAAUUUUUUAACUUGCUAAAUUGAUUUAAUGGUGGGAUAAAUUGCCUAAAAAAUAACUCUAUGGGAUAAAUUGAUAUUGAGACUAUAGUUAAUGGGGGUAAAAUGAUAAUAACUUUAAGGGCUAAACUUGUCUUUUUACUUUAAUUAACAAACUCCAUUAAGUUUGACCGUUAGUUUUAGGGGUAAAGUGACUAAAAGAUAACGUAAAGGGGAAAAUUGAUAGUUGUACCGAAUCUUAAGGGGGUAAAGUGAUAAUAACCCUUCUCUUUUUCAUAACUGAAAUUAUGCAAUCAAAUCCAGGCCACAAUCUAUUAUGCAUGCCUAGGAUAAUAUAUUUCUCCUCCUUUGAUUGAAUCUCAAAGUGGAUGAGAGGAGUAAAAAGAAUCGGUAACAAACAUUACCAACAAUCCCUAAUCCUUGUCGGUUGUUUGACUAAUAUUUUUCGUGCCAAAAGGUCAAAUUAUUGGCUGGGGCCAUGCACAGUUUUCAUAAAAUUGUGGGCAAUGAUUGAUAAAUAAAAACUAACGAUCUACUCUGAAAAGGGAUUACCAACCUCCGAACACUUUUUAUUUUGCCUUACAUUUGCACCCUCUAAAUUUUUGGACAAAUUACAUUUAACCCCCCUAUAGUUUAGUAUUUUUUGUACAUAACCCUCCUAUGGUUUCAAAAACUAUACAUAACCCCCUCAUUAUUUGAAUUAAAGUAUCAAAGUGACGGAAAUGAUCAUUCAUAACAAAAUCUUUAAAAAUGUUGAAAUUACUCUUGUUUAAAAAUUAAAAUGCUUGAAGUGAUCAAAAUAUAUAAACAUAAUAUGUAUAUAUGACACGCUAACCCGGUAUGGUUUUAUGUUUUACCAUAUAACCCCCUUAUGGUUUAAUGCUUUACUAUAUAACCCCCUUAUGGUUUUCAAAAUAUACACAUAACCCCCCCUGUGGUUAGUAAAUAAUUUUCAACUUGACAUAGAGGUAUUUUUGACAUUUUAGGUGAUUCCGUUAUGGAUUGUAAAUUUCGUUACUUUGAUACGUAAUCCAAACUAUGAAGGGGUUAUGUAUAGUUUUAGGAACCAUAGGGGUGUAUGUACAAAAAUACUAAACCACAAGGGGUAAAGUGUAAUUUGCCCUAAAUUUUUUGAAAUUCCUUUACCCUUUGCAAUAGGCACUUAAACUUUCUAGAUUUCCAUUUAUCGAUUAUGUUGCCCUUCUGAAGAAAUGUAAUUUGUACUAUCAUGGCCGAUUUCUCAAAACUAAGUCUGAGAUAAACUUAACCGUCCUUAUAUUUAUGUCGUCGAUGCUGUCAUCUCAGAAUUUUUAGUAAAAAAAAAAGUGAAGAAAUAUCUAUGGGCCAUGAAAGAAUUCCAAAGAUUGUGAAUGUUGCAAUUGUUGAUUCUUAGUUACAAACAGGAGCAGAGCCAUAUUAAGUUGAGGGUGGACAAUCACACCUCUCAACUUUGAAAAAUUCCUCCAUUGACACCUCCUGAAAAUUUUCAAAUUUCCUUUCUUUAUUUAUAUUGCCCCUCUAAGUUCAUAAAGUAUUUGUUUUCAUUGCCUACUUUAGACAUGAACACAUUCAAAAAAAAUUUUAAGUUUUAUUUUCAAAACAAAAGAAGAAUCUUGAAACUCAUGGUACAUACAGAUGAACUAGUAGUUUUCAUUUGAAUUAAUUUUUCAAGAAUUAUAGUUGUGAUCUAGUGCUCAAAAAAAAAGCUAAUCAUAUCAUUGCUUCGACAUUAUUAUUGUACGUGAAAUUCUAUAUAGUUCUAUCAUUAACACAGCCAUCGUACUAGCUAGUUAUCUAAAGUUUUCUGUAUUAUAAUUUAUUAUGUACAAAAAAAUUUUGCCUUUGGAAAUAGUGUCUAUUGUAAACUAAGUAGUUGCUCCCUAACCUUGGAAUCCUUGUUCUGCCACUAAUUAAAAAAAAAAAAAAAAAAUUGGGGACUGGUGAGUAGCAAACCUUGAAGGGUCUCGAAUUAUAGAAAGCAUAAAGCAAUGAAUCGGCCAGAGUGCGGAAGUUACAGUUCAAUAGUUGUUGUAAAACCGCGGAAACCACAAUUUCUUAGUUUCGAAGAGGUCCAUACAUUUUAAGAAGAUGUAAACAGACAAAAUAGGUAAUAAUUUUAACACCAGAAGUAUCCAAUGUUUUAAAACUCGAUCCAUUAAUUGAAUCGGUGAGAUGUUUGAGUCAAGAUUUAACCGAUCGGACCUGUUCAACCCUGGUUCAAUGAAUAUCUUAAAAAAUAAUUUAUAUAAAUAUAUAUAUGCACAAAAUAAGACACGCAAUGGACUAAUUUAAAACUUUAUAUGAUAAAAAGUUUAAUAUUUUCAAAGAAUUUGAAUUUUCAACAAUAAAUUUUUUAAAUUAUAAGUUGAAACAAAUAAAUUUCAUCUCAAUUUCAAUUAUAUCUAUUUAAAAAUAAUCUUAAAUCCAACCCAAAAAUAUCACAAUAUUUUGAAAUUAUACAAAAUUCACGUCUAUGGGAAUUAGACAUUGUGAGUUUAAAUUGUAAUUUAUAUUUUUUAAAUUUAGAAAUUGCAACUUAAAAAAAAAAAGAAGUUUGGAGGAAGUCAGGAGAAUCGAAAAUAGAGAUGCAAAUUUGAUAGAAGCAAAAAAAGAGAUGAAAAUGGGCAGUUGUGGCAUUUAAUAAUUAGUCUUUAGAGUUAAAGAAAAAUAAUUAUUUUUUUAAUUUUUUUUCAAUUUAAUAGACAAAAACAAAAUUAAAAGAUGGAAGAAAACAUCAAUAAAUUAAAACUCAAGAGGUUUGAUUAAAAAGGGAGUAACAAAAGAAAAGGGCAGAGAAAGAACUUUGAAGAUUAGAGAAAAAGAAUCAUGAGAGGAUGAGAUUUUGUAAAGAAAACGGAGGAAAGAAAGAUGGAGAUUUGUUUUAUAUAAAUGUAGUAUAAAAAAAUUAACUAGAUGUGAUGGUGCAAUAGUUAUUGCGUUGGUCUUUUAUAGCCAAGGUCUCGAGUACAAUUCUUGCUUAGCUGCAUUUUGCAAAACUUAAAAAAAUUAUUGAGGGAAAAAUUGAAAAUCGAGAAUCACCGGUUCGACCAGAUUUACCGAUUUGACCGAUCUUGACCGAUUAUUUGACAAUUUCAACUGUAGCGUAAAAUCGGAUCGAUAUCAUGGCCAAUUUCAACUAUAGUAUAGAAUCGGCUGGUAUCAUGGCUUUUCUCUUUCACUGAAAUUUGGGCCCAAAAAUUUGUUAUUUUUUUAUAUGUUAUUGUGUUAAUGCGUACAUUUGUUAUAAUAGUGUCUACAUCUCAUAAAAUGUGUUUGCGGUGUGCCUCACACAGAAUCCUGAUCUGUCUGGACCAUGCCUAGAUGUACGUCUUUUCUAACAAUUGGAAGUACACAUGUAAAACCCCCCGGAAGCUAAUCCCUACAUAAAAUCGGACCAGGCAACACUAUAUUAUGCACGCCUAGGAUACUUUAUCUGUGUAAAUUAUAAACCAUUUUUAGAGAGUAGAUGAGUCAUGACAGGAGAAUAAAGAAUUGGAGGGGGAAGGGUGCCAAUCAUUGUACAUCAUGAACGAUCUUAAAUCCUUAUCGGUUGUUUGAAAUUUUAUUUUCUUUCUAAAAGGCCAAAUUUCUGGAUGGGCCACAAUGCUUAUAAAUUUCAGGCAAUUAUUACCAAGUAAUAACUAAAGUCUGCUCUUUUGGCAAGGUUAGCACAUUCUUUAAACUAUGCAUUAGUUUUUCUUCCACCAUCUAUAUGAUUUAAUAGUAAUUUUUUAAAUGUAAUCGAUUUGUAUUGAUCCCAGCCGUAUGGGUCGAGUUUACCCCCAAAUAAUAGUUAAAAACAAAAAAUAAACAAAAGAUAGCAAAUUCUUAACUUCUUUUAUUUUGCCCUAUAUUUGUAAAUUUCUUAAAGUUCCUUUCACCAUUUGCAAUGUCAUCUUAUACUUUCUAGAUUGUUUCGCAUUUACAUUGUCCUUGUAAAGAAAUGAAAUUCUUGCUAUCAGGCCAACUUCUCGAAAUGCAGUUCGAGAUAACCGUAAUCGUCUACAUGAUUAAGUCUUGGAUACUGUCAUUUCGAUCCAAAAAUUGAGCAAAUCACUAGGGCAAAGGAAGAAUUUCAAAAGACUAUGAAAUUAAUGUCAAUUUUGCAACUGUUGAUUAUUCGUUACCCAAUCAUGGGGGGCUGGUUAGUGACCAACCGUGAUGGGGUCUCUAGUUACAAAUUGUAAAGCCAGGAAUCAGCCAGAGUGUAGAUUGCAUAAUGAAAUAGUUGGUGUAACCCACAAAUCCUCUGUUUCAAUGCUGUGCAAAAGGAUUAAGAAGCUGUAAAGAGACAAAACAGGCCAAAUAGCCUAAUAUUUUUAACAACAGAAGCACCAUAACCACCAUGCAAACAGUCUGGAUCCUGCCUGGACGUACAUGUUUUUUAAGACAUAUGUCUUUGCCUGUACCUCCACCUAAAACACCUACUUCUUUUGCAUGGAUAUGAAUAAUUUGCACCAUCAUGAGAUGGCUGAUCAGCCAUCCAAAGAUACAACUAUAAAUACUUGCAUAAACCCUCCCUAAUUCUUCACCUCCUUCAACCUUUAAGCUUGUUUUGAUUUGUUUUCAAAUUUUGCUUCUUUCAUUUCCACCUUUUAUAGUUAAGCCUCUAAUUUGGAAGCACAAUGAAGCUUUAUGUUGUUAGUUUGCUACUGGUGACACUACUUUUGAGCUCCUCACUUUUCGAAAUUGCAAUGGCAAAUACAAGUAAGAUACUUUUUUCCCACUAGUAGCGACAUCACUUAAUGCUAAUGUAGUAGCUUUUAUGCAAAUAUUUUUAUUAUUGUUUUUGGAAUCUUAAUGUUAGUGUAGAGCUAAAGAAUAAGGACCUUUCUUGAUUUGGGAAUACCCUUUAGUCAUUGAAUAGCACAUGACAAUUCUUAAGCAUCUAUUCAUGGCUCAAGAACUUGCUCAAUUUCUUUUCCACCCAACUCUUUCAUGGUUAUUUAUAUUUCAAAAACAAAAAAAAAAAAGUCAGUUUUUUUCUUUGGAGAAAUGAGAAGUAUAAGAGUUAAUCUUAUAUACGCAAAAUAGUGUAUAUAUUAUCACGACCGGAUAUAAUAUAUAUAUAUAUAUAAUUCAGAUUUUCAAUUUAAAUUUAGAGUAGGUAUCAUAUAUUAAUGGUGAUAUAUUAAUCCAAAACAUAAUAGGGAAGAAAAUGAAAAAAAAAAAAAAAAGAGAAUAGAGUAUUGAGAUUGGAACCCUCGUCAACAACUAUAACAACGUUGACCACUUGGCAGUUUGUUUUUAAGAAGUUGUACGAUGUUGAUUUUGGUACAUUUCAUUCAAUUUUGACAUUUUCUUGUUCUGAUUUCAAUAUAUCAAAAGGUUUCUGCGACUCAAGGUGUGGGGUGAGAUGCUCCAAAGCAGGCUUGAUGAAGCGUUGCCUGAAGUAUUGUGGAAUCUGCUGUGCUGCAUGUAGUUGCGUUCCUUCUGGAACAUAUGGCAACAAAUCUGAAUGCCGAUGUUACAGAGACAAGCUCAACUCCAAAGGAAAACCCAAGUGCCCUUGAUUCUAAUACUCAAUGUUUAAACACUUUUUUUGCAGAUUUCAAAAUGUUUGUUUCUUCAUUCACUUUCCAUAAAGUUCUUGCCUAUUUCAUUCAUGCAGAAAAGUGUGUAAUAAAUAAGAGAUAUCCAAUCGGAUAUCUCUGUAGAUGUAAUAUUUUACGUUUGCUCUCAACAAUAUUGUUUAGAAUUUUUCUCUAAUUUCCUGUGAAAUGGAUCAUACCAACUUAGUUUCAUAAUCAACACCAGUAAGCCUUAAUCUAGCUAGAAAAGAAAACUAUAUCUUUAAAUUUCAAAUGUUAAAAGAUCUCACAAUAUUUCUAUCAGUAACAUGAAAAGAAUUUUUAACCAGAGAUGGAAAAAUUGUACCCAAUUGAUCAAGUGAUUUUAAAUGUCUAGCAUAAUUUUGGAUUGAAAGGAUUUUUUCAUGUGUAAUGGAAUCUCGACUGAAUUGUUUUCACCAUGACUAAUAACAUGCAUAGAAAGUUAGAAACCUAGCUAAAGAACAACGUGCAUCAUUGGUUUAUGAGAAAGAAGGGAAUUCUCGAUUUAAGUAUUUAAAAUCUAUACUUCCUAAAAGAGGUAUGUGCUAAUUAACUAUGAAAAUCAAAUGUCACUUUUUUCUUGGGAAGGUAAUGGAUUGCCCACUUUGAAAAGGUUUGGAAGUAUUGUGCUACACAAUUCUGUUUUUAAUAAAAAGAAAUAUAAAAACAUUUUCUUUUUUUUUUUUACUGUGGGUAGUUAGUACAAAAUGUUUUGUGUGUGUAAAUAUUGGGGGUCUACAUGUAUCGCAUUUUUAAGAUUUCGUCCUUGUAUAAAGAAACAGCUGAAAAAAUUUUUUAGGAUCUAAGAUAAUUUCCUAACAAGCUUUUUAAUUGCCCUUAAUAAGCUGCUAGCAUAAUUUUUUGACCUUCUUGUCAUCCCUCUUGAACUUCCAUUCAAUUGUUCUGGAUGGAUAUUAAUCACAAGUUCUUGAUUAGAAGGAAUCUGGUAAACAGAACUCAGAUAAAAGAAUGGGCUUUCUAUUGUUCUUAUGAAUAUUUCAGUGGUAUUUCAAUUUUAUAAGAUAUGACAUCAAAGCAACAUUUAGUAUUAAGACAUGCCUUUGCCACUUGUUUUAGUGGUAAAAUUUAAACGAAUUCACCAAUAUUAGAAUUAUACGUACAUAGUAAGAAGAAAUAUCACAAUCCAAAUGUAUAAUUUUUUUUUAUGUAACCACUUGUUCAUCAAGGUGUACGUUGCUAUUCAUUAAAGUGCAAGUUUCUAUUCACGAAAGUACACAUUAUCAGUGAGUGGGAAAAAAAAUUACUAUUAACAAAUGAAUGAAAUUGCUGCAUAGUAAUCCUUUCACUCGCACUCAACACAGGAUUAUUUCCCAAAUCUAACCCCUCUUCUUAAAUCUAACAAUUUUCUACAGAAUAUUUGUUAUGAUCUGUUCCAAUAACAUUACUGUUGUUAAGGGUAAAAAAUUGGAAGGUGGAAAAUAAGAAAGAAGAGAAAAGGCUACUAUGGUAAUGUAGCAUUCAGUGUGUUAUUUUUUUUUUUUUUUUUUUCGACAAUGUGGGUAUUCAGAACCACCCGACUAAUUCCACAGCGCCCAGGCAGAGCGGGCUCGACCGAUACCUAGGACGGUAAACAACUGGGUUGCAGACUGGAAUCGAACCCAAACAGACUUGGAGUAAGGACCCCGCCUCCACCAUCCGAACAACCCAGCGCGGGCAGUGUGUUAUUUAUUUAACUAAGAAAAUAGUGUUGAAUUCCCUAUUCUGGAAUUUACUUACGCAAAGUUGAAUCCUACUUAUGGAUUUGGAUGAUUCCAUUUCUCUGAUUCUAAACUUUUCCAACAAGAAUUCACAGUAAAUUCGGUGGGUAAACUGCACUGUACAAUUCUAGCAAUGUACCGUUGCGAAAUCAUUUUCAUGUAGAGGAGGGCAUGAUGUCUUUGUGAAAACCUGACGGAUUGAUUCACGAGAAAAGAGUCUACUAAAAAAUUUGUUCUGGAGUUUCUAUCUUGAGUAAAAGAAAUUUCAGUCCACAAAUAUCACAAAAAUGUUCAACUCCAGUAUUAGUAACGGACAUCUACUGCUUUUUGAUCAAGUCAUAUUCCAAAUUCGAAGUGGCCUGAUUUUAUUCGAUAAAUGGUGUCACCUCCCACCAGAAUAUCUCUCAUCCAGAGUGUUAAUACAAACCUAACAGCAAAGGUAGUUGCUUGACAAACCACUAUAGGAGGAACCAGAAAAUUUCUUUUGAGGGAGCAAACUCUAAUUCAACUAAAACUCAAGCAUAUAACUUAAAAUAUUUUUAAUUUUUUGUGAGGGCAAAUUUACACAAAUUUUUUUAAACAUUUCAACUUUUCAAGGGAGAAAAACUUAAUUUUCCAAAACUUUGCAGGGGAGGGGACCUCUCCGCCACCCUAGUUCUGCCAAUGACAACCGCCGAGGCAUCAGAAACCUCCUUGCCUAAGCUCUAUGAGCUCCUCCAUACCGCGAGGGGACUGCGAGAAGAGUUUUAUAUAGGUAAAGAUUUCAUACUUCCGCUUGAUCAAGGGCCUGCAAUUUCCAUCUGGUCUACUUUUGCUUCAAAGAUGCUUUGGUUGCAAGAAAUGUUUGGAAAAAUGGAAAUUUUUGAGGGUUGAAACAAGAGAUUUGGCCGCGUAUUUACCUGUAGUUCCACAGAUGAAAAAGUCCAAUGGAUGAAUUUUAGCCUUCAGACAAAUAUGUAUGAAUAAGUGCUGCAAUAAACCAAUAAUUGGCUUAGGCAGUUGAGAUUAGUAGUAGUUAUGGCAUUUCAUGUUCUAGCGUAAAGUUUCAGAUGACAAGCGAUGACAACCAUGGUCUAGUCAGGAAAACAAUGAUUUCACUUAACAUAGAAGUUCUAAUACAGUAUCAAAAAUCCGAGUUAAUUGGCUCUGCAAAGGGGAUACAAUGAGUUAAUUGGCUCUACAAAGGGUAUACAAUGGAAUUGGCACAAAAAUGGUUUCCAAGCACAAAGAGUCAUAAAAGGAUCGUCAUGAAUACAUCAAAAUAAGCAUGUGGAGCAUAAAAAAUGCAUGCUGCUCUUAGUCCUCAAUUUGUUCCAGGAAAGCUUAAGCUGAAAAACAUGCACAAAUAAAAGCCUGACGAAUGGUUCAACAACUCUCGUAACUCUCAAAUUUAAUCUACAAAAGCUCUACUGUUCCUGUGAUUGAUACACCGACUAUACCCAGUUUUAUUCCCCGACAGGCCUUUGACCCACUCCAGUGUAGAAGCCCAACAGAUUCGGCACGUUAUUUGAGAUCCCUGUAGAUUAGCCCAACCGCAUGGAGAUCCAAAGCCGUAAUCAUACAACAAUUGUUCUCGAAGAACAAUGAUACAUGCUAUAACAGAUACAUCAGCCUCCAGAUACUUAGCCCAGCAAAUCUCUGAACAAGUUGGGAUUCUGACCUGUUGGUGUUACACCUAGUUGCCUGACCAGCGCAUCCUUCUCCAGUGAUUCUUUAGCAUUAGGUCCCUUGUUUAAUUGCUGAGUUGGGUUUGUAACCGUAUUUUCUCCAUGACCAUUUCUGUUAGGUGUACCUGCAAGUCCAGAAAGGAGAUUGGCCUCAUCUCUACCGGCAGGAAGUAGGUUUGGAACACCACCACUUUGCACAUUCAGGGUUGUUUCCCCAUAUAAAGACAUAACAUCUGGUGCUCCGCUAGCACUAGCAUCACUAGUAGUCAAAGUGGAAGUGUCUUGGUUUAGGUCAAGGAGACCUUCCAAUUGCUUGAAAGGAUCCACAGAUUGUGCACUACUAGAAACAGCGGAUUCAUCCAAAUCAAGCAAGUCUGGAGGCGGCUGGGGAGUUCUCUCUAACACAGCAGUGUCUGAAGUUGCAUUCUUAGCCACAUGAGAUUUUUCUGCAGCAGGAAUGUUAGUCUUUGGAACCUUCUGGCUGCCAGAAGAUUGUCUUUUGUGGGACUUUGAUGUACCACCAAAAAGUGAAGCAGCAAGUUUUUGCUUUUCAGCAGAUAUUUCUACUUGCUGCCUCCUUGAAUCAUAAGACACAGCUUUUGAGCUUGAACUACUAACCGCAUCAAGCUGAGGAGCUCCAUUUUGAAUCUUAGGGAUAUCAGCAUUUGAAGUAGACGGUGCAGCAGAAGAGUAAGUUGGCCUACCCCACUUCCUUUGGACCCCAUCAAGUUUUAGCUUUAGUUCUAAUGACCCAGGGUCAGAUACAGAUGGCACAGACGAAGCAACCUGGUGCAUCUCUGCAUGAUAAGAUGGCUCAGGUGCAGGUACAAGUUCAUUUGAUGAUGAUUGCUCAAUUGGAGAAACUCUGGAUGGCAUCACUGGUUUAGGAAGCUCAUAUGCCUCAAACCUAAGGGCAUGUGAUGAGACCUCAUGCAGUUCUUGGCUUCUGAAACUGCUGACAUCUGUCAUUCCAGACCGUUCACUUUCAGGAAUAUAAGGCUGGGCCCCCUUUUCUAUUGACUGCUGAACAUAACCGUUGAGAAAUGAAAGGCUUCUAUCAAUCUGCACAAGAAUUCAUGGGUGUUUAAAGUUGCAAAGAGCACUGCCAAGCUGAGCAGCAACAACUAGCUAUGUAUUCUCUACAAAAUCUGAUACCUCGAUGUCUUCACAACUUGCAUCCAUUGGCAUGAUGUUGGUAGCCACAUUAGCAUCUAAACCAAGGAUUGCUUGAAGUUCAUAAGCACGCUGCUGGAGGUCCGUUGAGUGGGAUGCUAGUAGUUCUUCAAUGAAGGACUGGCACUGCAGUAAGCAAAGAAAUUCACCAGUCAGGCCAUAAAGAAUCAUCGCCUAAACCAAACAAUGAUGCGGCCACAUCAAAGCAGCUUGCUCUGUCAGUGACAGGGUAGGUCUAUCAAUCUGAAGUUUGAACCAAAAACAAAUCCCAAGAUACCAAGAUGAGGAUGGACAAAAGUCUCAUUUACUGCAAUCACUACAUAUAAAUACUGAUUUUCAUCUAGAAUCCUGAUGACCUACUGCAGUUCAAAUGUUGGAAUGCGGUAUUGCCAGCUAAUCAUUUCUCAAGACAUACAGAUUGAUGGCUAAAAUUUGUUCUUAAUCUCGCCAUCAUUCAUUUGGCUCAGAGAGAGAGAGAGAGAGAGAGAGAGGUGGAGAGAAGAGGCUGAAUACUACAUAAAGCUCAUACAUAUUAUAGUGCAGCAUAGGAUAUAGUUAUGUUUAAGCAAAAGGAAGAGAAUUUGUCUCAGUUUACCCACCUCAGGAAGCACGUCCACUUUUCUCCCAGCUGCUAUUUCGAAUGAGUAUAUUUUCAUCAAUGCGGAUAUUGCAUAUGCCUACACAGUAAAGGAAAACAUCAAAACUCUAUGGAUAGGAAUCAACUAAACUUCAGAUGUCUGAAUGAAUAAUCUCCAUGAUCAGAACAUCUAGAAAGCCUAACUUUUACGGGCAUAUAACUGCAGUAUACAUGAUCCACAGACUAUGCAUUCAUAAUGCAAGAAUAGGUCAAGCAUGUGUGUGUUCCAUUUGUGGAAAUCAAGCAGGUCAAGUUCAACUUAAAAAAGUGCACAUCUAGUAUCUUCAUCUCUGCUUUAUGAAUCUUUACUCGUCUUUGAAUACAGGCAGAAGCUUUAAUCAAGAUCUUUAAUGGAUGGUUUUCAAGGAUAUUAUAGUGGAAUACUACAUUCUUAGAGCUUUCAAAAGUGUGUUCAUCAGCCAGUAAUCGGUAAUUCACUUUCCUUUUUUUCUUUUUUCCUUUAAUUUGGGGUGCAAGGCCAACAUCCAAUUACCAAACCUUUAUUUUGGUAAAUUGGAGACCAAUAAUUGGAUUUCAGUAAAUAAGUAAAACUCCAGAAUAUCUGCAAUUUUCUAAAGAACAGUUAGCAUUUAGUAAAGUUAUUCAGUCCCUUAAUAGUUUACUAGCACCUGAUAUUCAGUAGUUAUUACUUAGUAAUUUGUAUAUGUAUUAAUAUAUACAAGUAUAUAAUACAAAUCUGAAAUUCAACCGGUUAACGGGAAUUCAUGCAUCUAACUUUAGUUUCCACGCCCAAACUGUUUUACCAAAUAUUAGAGACUGGAUCUAUUUUGAUUUUACCAGAUUCCAAUUUAUUGAAAUCCGAAGUACAAACAAAAUUCGUUCAACCAGUUUUUCAGUUUUUUCCAAAUUAUAAACAGCCAAUUGAUUGUUAAAUUCUAUUUCAAUUUUGAACAAGCAACCACUCCAACCACCUGUUGGGAAUUUGUUGACAAAUCCUUCUUUGCACAAUAUCCAGUAAAAAUAUCAACCAACCUAUAUCUAAGGAACACUUCAAUCCAAGAAAUCCCUAUGACAGUCUUAUAUGAUACUUUGACAUCAGAGUCUCUGUGUUUAUGUGUUUUUGAUGAAGCAGAGGGAAAACCAGGUUCACUUGUCAAGCUCAUCAGUCUAUGCGUGUAUACAUUUUUUAUGUAUAGGCAAACCUAUUAAACUCUCAAGCAGGAUAACUUAGGCCACAAAUCAGCUCAAAAGCAUGUACCAUAAUCAAUCAAACAAUAGCAGGCUCCCACCAACCCCCCCCCCCCCAAAAAAAAAAAUCACUCCAAAUAGAAAUACACCAACAUGGACAGAUAAGACAAAUGUAACUUGUCCAACUACUCGAGACCCAAACAGUCAGUAAAGAAGGUAAAAGUGGUUUAUACCUUGACGGUGUCAUCAGUUGAGUAUGCCUCAGCCACAUCACAUAAUUUACCAGUUAUAUAGGAGGCAGAAUACUUUCCAUCUGCAGUUCCAUAUUCUCCCAAAACCCAACAAAUGACCUGUAACAUGGACCUCAGGAGAUGAAAAGCAGAAAGAAAUUUGCAUGCUGGUCACUGCAAGAUGCAUAAAACAAGAAGAAAGUCAAACUAAAAUAUUGGAAAACUUACUUGGAGAAAUGUUGAAGGAAGCUUUGGCUCCACAACAAUGCGAAGAUAUGAUUCUACCUGCAGUCCAAGAAAAAGCUGACUCAUUUUUCAUUUAAAGAAAAAGUGUAAUAUCAUAAGUGCUGACUAAAACAUCGUUCUCUAUUUCAGACAAAAUUAGUAAAUUAAGCAUAAAAGCUCAGCCGAGAGUCAAAAGAAACAAUUCCUGAACAUUGACCUUGAAUUACAAAUUCAUCCAGCGAUCAGCAAUGCAGCGUAAUAUUAUAAAUAAAGAUAAAAAUAAUUCAAUGCAUAAAGUUACAAAACAAUAGCAGAGAUAGAGAUCCACACCAUAGGGAUCCUCAGAUAAAUAUGCACAAGAUCCCCAGAGAUAGUCCAAGAACAUCUCCUGUUAAUGAAUGAGCCUUACUAACACACAACAGACUACCAAAAAACAAAGCACCAAAGAGAUUUUAGGAAACAUUUAGCACUCCAUUAGUGCCUAGCAUGAAGAACAGCAAACUAUGUCGAGGAAAAACAUAUUAAAUAAGGACUGCAGUCACAGAGAUAUAUUUCAUUGCCUCUAUUCUUAAGAGUAAUUAACAAACACCAUAUCCUGUAUAGAAAAUUCUAUUUAAUAAUAAAACCAAGUUACAAACUCCACAAAUUAUCAGAGAAAAGUCUAAAAAUAAGUGCAGACACAGAAUAUUUUUUUUUUUGAGUAACACGCAAAGAAAACAAAACAGACUUAAUCAGACAGGAAUAUUUUCAAUGCCUCUAUCCAGUUUGCAAAGGCAAGAUGGUUUUUAGCAGGCAUCACGGGCAUAAUUUAAGCUAAGCUUGUGACUGCCAAUUAUAUUCACCUUAUUUCUUAUUUCAUGUGUUGUGUUGACUAGUCAACUUAUUCAGAUAUUCAUCAUUCUUUGGGUAACUUUUGUGGGCAAGCCAAAAUUUCCUUAGGUAAUACUUUCUGUAAUUAAUAUAUAAUGCCAUUCGAAGUAGAAAGGCUAACAAUUCAGAAAUUAGAGAGAACUCUUAAGUAUAGAACCUAUAAAGAGCAUUAUGAAUUAGCAAGCAACACUAAUGUAAAAUCUUCUCUUCAGAAAAUUUUGAGACAGUAUUGGAAACCUCAAUUAGGACUUUUCCCACUCUUAGGCAUACAAGAAAAAUGAUUUUAAAUGGAGAUAGAAAUAAGAAAUCACCCUAAUUACAAUUCAAUUGGUCGCUGCUAGAAUGGCCAAUUCAAACUGAUUCAUCUAUCAAAUCUUUAAGAUCUCGCAAUGGCAGGAAAAAUAUUGCACCAAGUGUAAUUGCCCAUCCAACUAAGGUAUAGAGGAAAAGACCAAACAAAAAGUGUGAACACUUCCAGAUGCAAAUGUACGGACUGAUAAGAUCUUCCAAUCUGCACACAUGGUUCACAACUAUGCAUCACUUGAUAAUAGAACAACCCUUUCCCUGCCGCCCCCACAGCAUCUUAGUUAAUGAUGUCAACAUAACUUAUUUUAUCUGCAAGCAUACAGUUGUCCAGUCCAUGUGCCAUCUAUACAGAGUCCAGAAAAUAGUUCAAGACAAGUACAUGCAUUCACAAAACUAACAAAAUACACCAUGUUCAGUUCCCCAUCAUGAUUCUGUUCACUUCCAAAUAAUAAGCCAGCACAAACUUACUUGUCCAAAUUCAGUAAACAUCCAAAUUCAUAUGGAAAGAACAUCAAGCAACACAUAGUUCCAAAAUAGCAAGGUAAUCUCAAAAGCAGGAUUCAGCAAAAUUAUCUUUGCCGAGGAGCACUUACUGCGGAGGAUCUCAACUGACUAUCUGCAGUAUCAUCUUCCUCACCGAAACCCUCAGCAAUCAAGCGCAUCAAAUUAUGAGCCACUUUAGGGUUUACUAGAUCACCAGCAUGUUCAAAGACUCUAUUCAUUGUCUGAAAGGUAAGAACACCAAGAUAAGCACAGAAUUCGAAAAGUUGUAUAUUUCUAUUGCAAAAUCAAACUCCAGAAAAUGGGAAAGUAAGGAUCGAAUUUACCUGGAUAAACCACUGGUUGCUUGGUGCAAAUUGCUCAGCAAGUUCAACGCAUCUGGAUGCAAUUUCAGUCUUAUAAUGGCUAUCAUUGAUGUUUAUCAUGUAAUCAAUCAUACGGUCCACAAUCACUUCCACAUUUGAAGAUUUUGUCAUUUUAUAUAGCAGCUCAAACGUCUUCCGCUUAAGGGUAUCAUCAGGGUCCUGUAUAACGACGACAUCACAGUUUAAAAUGAUGACAAAUGAUAUGUCAUAAAAAAUUAAUUAAGCAAUACAACUCGAUUGUGCAGCAGAGUUUGGCCACUCCCUCUCAAAAGAAGGGGGGAGGGAGAAAAGCAUUUAAAGAGUGACAAAAUUCUAGUUAUAUCCAUUCAGAAAGUAAAAGAAACUAAACUAAUAUGAAAUUCUUAAAAUGAGCAUUUACCAGAGCAUAUGAUAGGCUCGUUCUCAGUUGAUUAUUUUAGUUGCUAAUAGAUUUUGAUUAUGAUUAAUCAGUUUUGAGAUGUUCUCAUUUCUUUUGUAUUCAGAUUAUAGCUUUUUUAAUAACCAGAAAAGCUAAAAUCCAUAAUCACCCAAAAGGGUAGCUUUUAAUGAUUCUGAUUAUUCUCUAUAAUCACUUUCCAUAAUUGCAUCUUGUAAAAUCUAAACCAAACGAGAACAAGGCUGAUAUCUUAUUCUAAAUUAAGUGUAAUCUAGAGAAGCGUAACUUUUAUAUCACGCAGGUAGAGGGCAAAAAAAGUUCUUCAAGGCAGCAGCAAAAAUCUCAAUCUCAUUCAAGAUGAUGACCUCAUAGCCUUCAAAUUUGACUUCAAAAUUGCUAGCUACUUCAACUAUGUCUACCUCAGUAAGAGAGUUACACUGGAUGAAGGCAGCAAAGUCCGUUGCCACAUCAUACAAAGAAAACUGCAGGUAUGAAACAUGAACCUAAUUUGGAGCUCAAACAUUGCUUUGAUAUUGAGUUUUGUGUUCUCUUGCAUUCUAGGUUUUGGUUCAACAUUCUAAUUCUAAUUCAUUCAGCAGAGAGGGAUUUUUAAGGAAAAUAUGCUUUCUUUACCUUUCAUAAUUCACGAUUUAAAAAGAAUUUCAUCUUCCAGAUAUGCAUUUCCGGUCUUCCUAAAAGAAAAUAUUGACGUGGAAAAAACACUCAAAGGAUCCUGAACAAUGUUGAAGUACACAAAUAGGUAGAUGUUAUUUCAAGAUGAAAGGGUCCAUGUGCUUUAUUUUUUGAAUUGUUUAUUUGGUGGAUUGGUUAUGACCAAGGGGUAAAAGCUGUGAAACAUAGCUGAAAAUACAAAGAUACCAGCAUUGCCAGAUUGCUUAAUAGCAAAAACCUGAUGUUCAAAAGGCCAAACCUCAUCCAAAGUAUGUUUUCCAGCACAUAAUAGGUAACAAAUACACAUGGAAAACGGCUCAUUGCACAAUUCCAGAAGGGCUUAUUAAACACAAUGAACUAGAGUGUUGUUGAACCAAAAAAUAAGAACUAUUUGCUAUCAGACUAUACUUAGAUAGCAUCAUAGGUGAAGAUCGGUGCAACAAAGCAAAUCAUUCUUUUCUAACUUUGCAAUAAAGAAGAGAAAAGAUCACUUGGAUGAUAUGGCAUGUAAGCUAAAACAAUCAAUCUGCUACAGUUGCUGUCGAACACAAAUUUCUGAAUGACCAAUAGCUAUAUAGAAGAGGCAGAAAGCCUACCAUUUUAUUAGCAAAAAAAAAUACUCUAUUUGAAGCUCAAUCAACAAGAAGGCAAAAAGAUUACAACCUCCAUUAUAUCUUCAUUCACCAGAAAUAGAUGAAAGAACAACUUUAGCUACUGAUUUUUCCCCCAUAAUUGCGCAGAAAGAAAAUAAGAUGGGGAUUCCCUAUAAGUGAACAAUGAUUCAAGUUCAUAUGUAUAUGAUUCCAGACAUCAGAACCACUAUACGAAAUUCAUUAAUAACUGGCUACUUCAUAGACUACUUAGUUGAAGAUCAUCCUAAAACGUGAAAUAGACACUAUUAUCCAAGCAUCCAUGCUAUGAAAUCCAUACACAUCAUGAAUCAGCAAAGAAAAAAAAUUGGGACAAUAUUAGUCUGCACGUCCCAGUUUCAGUUCCCAGAGUAUAGAGUACCAGGAAACACUUCC
RNAcentral lists this long non-coding RNA (53777 nucleotides) under Coffea arabica (coffee). RNAcentral describes it as "long non-coding RNA (CARA_LNC005581)". Lineage: Eukaryota; Viridiplantae; Streptophyta; Magnoliopsida; Gentianales; Rubiaceae. The record is from RNAcentral.